AGAAUGGCGGUUGUUAGGAUAAAUCCGGCCGUUGGAUUUCCUUGAUAUUUAUUCUAAAAUGUUAGAAUAAAGGAAUUAAGAUUAUGGUGGAGUUUGGUGGAAAUCCGGUGAGCUUAACCCUAGUUAGAGUAGUGGGUUAAGCGGAAGAGAUUUGAGUGUUUAUUUUCAAAUGUUUAAUUUUCCAGAAUUUAAGUUUGGUCCUAAGCAUAUUUAUUGUGCCAGGAUACGAAAGGAACCUCGCUUGAGUAGUGAUUUGGAAUUUGUCAGGCUUAGGCCUAAAUCAGUGAGUGGACAUUUUGGUUUUUAAUUAAUAUGCAUGCAUGAUUUUAUAAGUUGCCUAUUAUAUUUUCCAAGCUUAAAUUAUAAUUUCAGUUUUUGAAUUGGUUAUGGAAUUUAAUGGAGAUUGACAGAAUGGUUAUGUUUUCGAUAAUGAACUUAUGGAUUUGAGUUUGGGUAAGAGUUUUGGUAUUUGAAUUAUGAUAUUCUUUUGAUCUCCGGAUUUGAGAUUUCUUUAAAGAUUUGAGUAUUGCCUAAUUUAUGAAACAUGGUAAUGAUAUGAGUUAUUUAUUUCAUUAAGCAUUUUAACGUGUGGGACACGUCGUUGAAUUUAAUUAAUUUCUUUACUCUUUGAAUUCUUUGAGUACGGUUGGGAAUUAUACUUAUGCUUUAAUUAUAAGUUUCGGGGAAACUCACAUGGAUAUAUGUUUCUUUAUUUAUGCCAUACUUGUCGGAUAAUAUAUUACUAAUGCUAGCAUGUUGUUCCGCCUUUCGAGGCGAUGUGGCUUCCACGUUUUAAGUGGGGUUACUCAAGCCCUUUCCUCCUUCGGGUGAUGUGAUGUAGUCGACGACAUCAUGCAAGUCCUACAUCCUCUUUGUUAUAAUAACAUGAAGGUGUAGGGAGUAUGAGAGUAUUAUUUAUUGUUGGCUAUAUCUGGGAGGCAACUGAGUCUGGGAGGCUCACUUGUAUGGCUAUAUCUGUUUCUUAUUUAUUGUUGUUGACUUGAUUAGCGGGGCUAGUCCAUCUUUUAGUUAUUCCUUUUGACGAAAGUCUUUAUGAAUCUUUGUUGUCGUUUUGACUAGCGGGGCUAGUCCCUUAUUUUGGGUGCCUUCUUCUAUGAAGGUUAUUAUUUAUCUUUGUCAUUAAUUUGACUAGUGGGGCUAGUUCGUUUUCUUGGGAUUUUCUUUAUGAAAGAUUUGUCAACAUUUGCAUGCAACAGAUUUAUUGCAUAUUGGAAAGUGGAAAAGUAUUUAAGUUUUGGUUUCUUAUCCUAUGUUUAUUUUCGUCCACUCACUCUAACGUUUUUAAAUUACUUUCCUCUGGGCCCUUUGGUUUUAAAUGCCCAGAUUGCAGGCUCAGUCUAAGUGAGGUCGGGCGUACAUGGAUUCGAGGCAUAGUCAGAGGCUGCUUCCGGUUAAUCUUUAUUCAUUGUUUUUCAUUUAACUCUAGAUAUGCUCUGAUAAUUAGUUAGUGAAUUAAUGUUGGUUAUUGUUGGUUGUGGGUUUAGUUUAGUUGAGUAAUUGUUAUAUUGGGAGAUGUGUUGGACUUGGGGAGCAGGAAGGCUCCAGGUGUUGAGGAUGGAUGUUUGGUUAUAGAAGUGUUAAGUUGAAUUUUUCAGGUAGGGGUCGUCCAUUUUUAAGGAAGGUUAUGCCGAAUUUUCAGUAAAUUUUCCUUGAAGGUGGACCCCGCAGAGUUUACCUCGGGUUUCAAGAUGAAAUUCGAGGUGGGUCCUGUCAAAGAGCAUGUGAUAUGUGCUAUACCGGUCUAUGAAGGAUUUUUCUACAAUUACUUAUGAUUUUUCGAAGUUACGGAUAUGCAUCAGAAAAAUAACACAUGUAUCGGCUUGUAACUCCAUCUCCAUCACCACCAAAGCUAGUAGAUCGUUUCAUUAGAAGAAAAAAAAAACAGUAGAUCAUUCAAACACAUGUACCUUCUCUUCUUCUUCUGCCGAAACCCAACUCGAAGUCUCAAGCCUCUCCGUGUUGAUGCUGGUCCGAGCAGCGUCUGUGGCUCCUCCUCUUGCAAGCGAGCGCCGUUGCAGUCGGAAAAAUAUGGGGACUCGCCGGAGAAACAGAAACCCAGAAAAAGAAGAAGAAAGUGAGAUCGGGGUUCGAAUAUGGAAAUAGAAGCUCAAGAGAGACUGAAAUUGAAGUAAGAGAGAAGGGAUUACCUUAGAGAAGCUUGAGCUCGCCGGAGAAGAAGGGAAUCGGUCGGGAUUAGGAAUUGGGGUUAGGGUUUGAAUUUUCGAUCUAAGAUAGGGGUGCAUACAUGUCGAGUUUGUGGGUAUGAGAAGGGAGAGGAGAGAGAGGGGAGUUGAACGCUGCUCACCAAUCGGCCAGCGGCGGCCGGACGACGACGGAGGCUCGCCUGGAAGGAGAGCGGCGCCUCUGCCCUUUUCUCUCUCGAUAGGUUUUGAGCCCUUUAGUUUGCGAGUCAAAUGGCUUAACAAUUGUGUGUGUGAGAGGUUUUGAGUAGGGCUAGCAUUUUGAGCCGAACUAACCGAGCCAACCGAGUUCCGAGCCGAGCCAACAACAUUCGGUAGCCGACAAGUCAGUAGAAGACAUCUCGGCUCGGUUGAGCCGUACCAAGUGUGAUAACUCGGCUCGGCUACGGUACACGAUUUUGUAUACCAUCAGUAUACUGUACCGACCGACAUAUACGUAUACUAGCCAAUACACAUAUAUUAUACGCCUUCAAAUGCAAAAUACAUAGCAUUUUGCAUGGACUGGGACUCGAACCAAUCACCUCACAGAUGGAGAUAAUCACCUCCAACCACUAGAGCAGAUGCUCUUUUUAUUAAUAUAUGUGCAAAAGUUAAAUUUAUUCUCUUAUAGAAAUAAAAAAUAACCUUUCUUUUCUUCUCUCCUCUGACCUCUCUCCUUGCCGUUCUUAUUCUCUCAAUCUCUCCUUGUCGUUCUUUCUUUCUUCUUCUCUCUGCUCCAUUUCAAAAUUCAAUCAUCAAUAAUUCUUUCUCUUCUUUCUCUUUCAAAGAAAUUAACCUAGACCACCAUCCACCCUUUUCUCCAAUUCUCGUCUAUCAAAGCGCACACUUUCUCCUCUUCUCAACUUCUCCUUCGCCGAAACCAUCACUGAAACUGCCAAGAUCCUCUUCGAUUCCUGCAUGUAAUUGGAACCAAGAUGGAUUUUGUGGAUAACAAGCUCGGGUUAGCCUUCUUUCUCAAUUCGUUUGGGGUUAAUUGAAAAGUAAUUCAAGUUCUUCUUCUUCUUUGUUUUUUUUUUUUUUUCUAGAAUACAGAAAUUCUGGUUUGUUCAGUAAUACCAACCGAUACCGACCGACUUUCUCGGUUACCGAACUGUCGGUAUCUCGACUUUCACGGUCGGUAACGGUAUCGAAAAACGCCUGCCGAUUGUAAUUGGUACGGUAUUCGGUAUUGGUAUUUUAGGUCGGUAACCGUCCCGAGGCCAGCCCUAGUUGAGUCCUUUACCUUUUUUUUUUUUUUUUUGUUCGAAGUGUCAAGAGUCACAUGGCUAUGGAACCAUACGGAACCCAUAUGGAACCAUUUUGAGUCCUGUACCGAUUGUUGUAUUGUUAUAAAUAAUCUAAAAUACUGAUCUAAUAAUGCCAAACAUCACGAUUCAUUUUUCUUUCAGAAUGGGAGACUCGCAUCCAAACAAUUUCAUAUGUGAAGAUAUUUUGAUUAACAUUUUAGCAAGACUGCCCGCCAAAUCCCUCGUUCGGUUUAUGUGUGUAAGCAAGUCAUGGAGUCAUAUGAUUCGCAGCUCAAGCUUUGUUACCACACAUCUCAACAUACGUCACAGAUCACGAUCAUCACUAUCUAAUUGCUACCCACUUUUAUAGAGGUAAAAACAUGGACAGCUAUCUCAUAUCGCUCUUUUCUAAUCAAACAUUUGAGCUGUGCUUGGAGUUACAACAUCCCUUGUGGACCGGAAAAUGCUUCGAAGUUUAUGGCUCAAGUAAUGGUUUACUUUGUAUUUCUGAUGAAGAUCACCAUUUGAGUUCAACGAGUUCUACAUGCAUAUGGAACCCAUCUAUCUGAAAAUCUAUAUCUCUUCCCAAGACCAACAUGACAGAUCAUAUUGUUUUCAAGUACGUCUGUCUCUCAUUCUGUUUUCAACCAAAUCAGAAUGAUUACAAGGUGGUAAAGAUGUUGGAUCACAAUAGGCCUUCCAUGGAAGUUGAGGUUUAUAGUCUAAGCACCAACUCCUGGAAAGUGAUUGAACAAGCUCCUCGGUUAAAUUCCCUGUGGUGGCUCAUGGGGAAUGAAGUUUGCAAUGGAAUUGUAUACUGGCUGGUUUAGGAUGAUGGUCACAGGAUCGUGUCUUUCGACACCGGAAGUGAAAGUUUUGAUGAAUCGCUAGUUCCAGAUUCCAUAUUGACUAUUAAUGGUUUUGUCAAGAUUAAAGUGUACAAGGAAACCAUAAGCCUGCUUCAAGGUACUACGAAUAUUGAUUUCUGGGUUCUACAACAAGGCUCUUUUCAAAGGCUGCGCACUAUUUUUCUGCCAAAUUAUGCCCCUCUAGGCUUAUUUACAGAUAAUGGACUCUUGGUACAAGAAAAAUCAACAUACAGUGAGCUAGAUUUGUUUGAUCUUGAAUCCAACCAAAUUAAGAGUACCGGAAUCCUUAUAUGCGAUCCUAAGCUCUAUACUUACAAAGGAAGUCUAGUUCUGCUCGAUCAUUAGUAUCAAAGGUAUAAACUUCUUUGCUGGAUUCUGGUCCGUAUGCUGGACAAGUCGGAGGAGGCUUGAGUUUCAGUAUAAGCAUGUUGCCGUAACUCUGGUAUGAUGGUGCUAUUGAAAUUUGUUAGGUCUUGUUUGGAAUGAUGGAGAAGAUGUAUGGAGUUGCAAACUAGUAGUCUUGUUAUCUAAGAUCUAACAAAAUGUCUAGAUUUGGAAUUACUCCUAUCUUUUUUCUUUUCUUGGUAUUUGCUUGACUAUUAUUAUUCCUUCAAUCUUCUGUUAUCAUAUAUUAUUAUGUUGUCAUAGCUACUGAUCUUGGUUUUGUCACUUCAAAUCACCAACUGCUCUCUACCAAGGCCUGUGAAGGGAAUUUGACUGUAACAGUUCAUAUAUGUAUGUAACGCAUGCUUUAAACCAAAUAGAUUGCCCACAGUUUAGGGGUAUCAUCAGAAUGAAGGACCACGUCAGACUGCCACGUGGUUAUUCGGGAACAUUGAAAAAUUUCUCGUUAGGAGUUUCUCUAUUAUGGUGUUUGUCAUAGGCUCAUGCCGUAAUGUUCGUAGAUGUUUACUUAAAAGUUAAAACCAGCCAAAUAUAGCGAAGGCACGCCAUGGUCAACAGUUCAAGCAAUAUUGCCUGCUUUAUUGGCCUUUCCUGCCAUACACAAACUUGAAUGCUGCAAUAGAAAUGCAGGGUGCAGUCCUAUCUUAAUUAUGCUAUAAGAUACUUAACUAAAACAUAGAAGUAGAUUAAAUUAUGAACAAUCUAUAUUCGGUCGUACAAGAAAAAAGGGCAAAAAAAACACUGUUUUAUUUGGCUUCUUGUUUUUCAUAGAAGAGGGGCCAUGGCCAAAAACGCAGAGCAGUUCAAAUGAAACGGUACGAGAAGAAUGAAGUGCUUAACCCACCAGAUCACUCUUCUCUUUCCCCCAAACCUCACUCCCCAAAUUGCCAAAGAAAAAAAAAAAAAAAAACCCCAAAACCCCAACCCGUUUUCUUCACAUGAUCCUGAAGCUGAUUAUCAGAAUGUUGCUUGUAUGGAAUAUGGGAUGUAAAUUUAGUCGUGAGGAAUCUCUUUGAUUUAGAUAACAGAUAAAUUAAUAUGUCACAGUGAAAAACUGAAAAUAAAUUUAGCUCCUUUAAAUGGUAAAAUCACUCACUGAUGUAUUGAUUUAUUGAAGUUUCUCUUAAUGCUAUAACAAGUAAUAACGAUAAAAAACAAGAACACUAGCAGGCAUGAAUGACCAAAAAUCGAAAAGAUUAAAACCGCUUAGAACCAUUUCAGGUAAUCCCGACACAUCCCAAAUUCUCUAAGUCCUUGCAACCAAGGUAAGCAAGAAAUCCUUGUAGUUCCCAUGAGCUGUCUCUUCAAUUUUGCUGGAUAGAGAAACUCCAUACUGGUUCUGGUAUUCCUCUUUAAUCUGUUUCAUAUCUGUGUCAGCUCGGGUCACAAUUACUCUAGUCAGUCCCUUUUUGGUGUUCUUGUCCACAUCAUUCCUCAAUGCCACUUCCAACACCUGAGGAAAAGAAUUGAAGAAUGUCAUCCAUAAUGGCCAGAUAUCGGGAAUUUUAUGCAUGGAAAGUUUAACAUAUAUCUGAACUAUAAAAUCAGAGAUGAUUCCAGUGACAACAUGUGACAUUUGUUGACAUAACAUGCCAAGAGAGAAAUUGUUUAUAUGCUAUGCUAUGUAAUUCGAUUGCAGUUUUGCCUUACCUUGCUGAAAUAUGUGUGAGGAGUACAUAGGCAUUGCACCGUCUCUUUUAACCUCAAAUCAGCACCAAGAUCCUAAACAAAGCACCCAUUAGAAUCAACUAAUAUAUGCCUACAAGCUCAACAUUAUUACUUUAAAAUUUAAGCAACUAUUAAAGAUUAGAAGACCAGCUUGAAAUGUUUUGCCACUUGAGUUGAUUGUGAAUUCUCAUACAUACCUCAUUCAUGUUGUUGCCAGAAAUCUCCUUGUAGUGUUUAUAUACUACUUGGAGAUGAGCCUUGCUCCUUGUUGAUAGUAUCCUAAUAACCUCAUCAUCUUCAAUGGGAUUUGUGUUAUCUGUGUUCUUAAUCACAUGAUAAAGUGUUUGUGCCUCAGAUUUUGCAGUCGCAUCGUUAACCUUUGCUCCUUCAUACCUAUAGGCACUCACAAGUGCAACCAAGAGCUGUAAAAGGAAAUGCCACAAAGAAAAGAAAAACACCAGUUAAAAUCCUUUACAUUUACAUGUCAUGUAUCAUAUAAAUCGCAAGUUCAGAAAGGGAAGCGACAUAAGGCUUUCAUUUUGCACACUCCCAUGGAUAUCUGCUUGGAUAUUCAAAUGACACAAUUCCAAUUGGUCGAAAAUUGGUUUUUCUACAUGAAAACUGCUAUUCUCAUACUGACUUUGUCAUUCUUCACUUCAAAUUCAGUAUGUUACUAUUUUCAAUGCCAUAAUAAUGAAAGGGGAGUAGGAAUAGCAUUGCCUUGUCUGUAAUUUGCAAGAACAGUUACUGAAACUACAGAGGUAAAGGAUAACAUGUUCAGUCUAUUAGUAUUACAUUAUCAAGUCCCUACAUAUUUGGUAGAAACAAAAGUGUCACUAAUGAGUUUUUGGAAAUCUCAUCUCUUUGAAAUAAAGUUGAUUCCUAGAUAUUUCAUAAUCUCGAGUUUAACCAUUGCGUAUCACAACUGUGUAAUAGGCUCUAAUCGAUCAAUCAUAUAGGAAGAUAGUGAUUACCUUGCUUUCAGGGCCAUCAAUGUGGUAGGCAACAUCUUCUUCAAUGGAGUGGUCAAAGAGGGAAUGGUAGGCCUUCCUAGCUCCUAAUAGCUCUUCUGAGGAUCUAGUGCAUGCAAUCUCUACAAUGACACCAUGGACCUCAGUUCCUUUCUUCAAGGCCUCCUUCACCAAGCGAGCAUCUCUUUCCCAUGGAUGCAUAGCCCACAACACCACAGCAUUCUGACAAAUAUCAUAUAAAGAAACUCAUCAGCACCCUGUUUAUCAAACUCCACAUAGUAAUAUGAAGACGGCGGAUAGUCAUUUCAUUCAAAAAUGUCGCAUCUCAGAUUGUGAGGAUGUAAAUGCAAGGACAUAUCCAGACUUGUCUCAUUUAACAUCUAUUGGAGCAAGAGCAUUCGAAAAUCGAAGUAAAAAUGUGUCAUGAGAACUAGGAUACAAGUGCGUGGAAAUGAAACAUGGGAUGAGAAAUGCACCUUAAAGCGCAUGAAUUCAUGCUUGAGAAGCCUGACACGUUCAUCAUUCCAUCUCUCAAAGAGGCGUUCAUCCUCUUUGAACAGAUGGGGAGUUCCUUUCCUGAAACAUUUCCUCUCCUCUGGAUGGGAGUUUCCCAGUAUCGAUAUCAAUGACUUCUCAUCAACUCCAAGCCCUGCAUAUCAAUUCAUCACUCAUCAACAUCAACUAACUCAACCAAGUUAUGACCAAAACCCAAACCAGUAGAUAAAGAAAUGUCCUUGUUAACUAUCCCCAGUAAAACAUUUCUCUUUUAUAUACAGAAUUGGUACCAAAGCCUUUGCCUAUUGAGCUGAAAAUAUAAGUAAAAACUGGAGAAAUGCGUAUAUAUUUACAAAAUAUUACACCAAAAUCACAAACAAGAAAAGGAAUUGAUCAAAAUGGGCAGUAGCUAAUAUUUAAAGGAAUGUAAAUUGAAAUGGAAGAUGAAGAACAUAAAUGAAAAAGAAUGAAGAGUUUGAAAUGGGGGACCUGAGAAAGCGUUGUUGAGAGUGUUCAACUCAUCAGUGAAAGCCAUUGUUUUUGGAUUUUGCUAAGCCAACGUGUUGUGGGAUCUUCUCCCCCAUUGCUGAUUAUAUAGUACCAGUCCAUAGUUGAAGGGGGUAAUUUAGUAACUUACGCGGAGAACGGCAAAAGAUUUCAUUACAGUAUUUAUUGAUUUUGACCUGUAUUAAUUAAUUUGUUCAAUUUCACCGUUUCUUGCAGACCAAUCAACAUAUUCUGGUGGAAUUUACUAUGUUCCUACAAUUUUCUGCAAUUUCCAAUUUGCGCCCAAUUACGAAACCGUAGUACUGUAGCGUUGAGUAAUAAAGAAAUCUUUAAAAUUUAUUAUUUUGUUUUAUAGAAUUCGAUCUCUCUUCAAAAGAGAAAAAACUUCAUAAAAUUAAAACAGUUAACAUGAGAAUUGAGACAAGCUGAUGCAUGCAUUCGAGGGAAAGAUAUGAAUCCAAGGUCAUAAAUCUGCUGAGUAUGUGGAAUUCAUAUGUGGGGAUAAUCUCUUUCCAUAUAUACAAACUACGUGUGAAACAUGUGUCUCUAUUUAUCAAACUAAAAUGAAUGAUUCUUAGUUCAUUAUGAUUCAUAUUCGUUUUCCUUGUGGGUGAAGACAUAUAAUACAUUGAUUGAUAUAGUGAGUGAUGUGUUGGAACAGGUUUGCCUUAUCUCCUUUGUCCCCAGCCUCCUUAAUAUCGAUCGAUUUGGUAGCUAUCUAAGCUAGGCUGGAUUCGAUUAUUUUGUUACUUCUUAUAUAUCAUAUCAUUAUAUGCUGGGGCAUCCACGUACUCACCAACAACUUUGAUAUUGAUCAACAGGGAAAACACUAUAUAAUGCUACCAAAACCCUAGCUUACACCAUGCGAUUAUGAAAAUUUUAUGUUAUUUAUGUUCUAAUCUUCAAAGUAAGAAGCUAAGAUGAAGAACUCGAUAAUAAAUUGAUAGAAGGGCCAAUUACAUGAAAUUUUCUAUAGAAUUAUUGCUCUAAACGUGUGAAUAAAAGAAGAAAAAAUUAAAUAACUUAAGAACAUGAUGGAGGCACACUGCAUUUUUUUUUUUUUUAGGGAAAUUAAUAAUGGCCGGAGAUAUAGAGGCUAGUGUAUUUGAAAAUUCCAUAGUAUGAUAAAUGUGACAUUAUAUUAAUGAAUUGCCAGCAACAACCAAAGGUCCACCAGAUAGAAGGAAAGAUCGAAAAGCUCCAUCUCGAUCCGUUGUCUGGAACAAUAUCUUACUCACUCGCAUGCUUAAUUUCAAUCAAAGAAACAUGCAUCGUCUAUUAUAAACUAAGAACAUAUGUCUCGCCAGGAAUUAUAUAUAUAUUUCCCUUUCAGAGCGGUGUCCUUCUUUGAAAUUAAAGUGUGGACCUCUUUAUUUCGCUCACUUUCAGGUCGCAUUUCCACAUCUCAACCAUACAAUGUCUAGAAUACAGUGUAUAGAUCAUUCCUGCAAAGUUUCAUUCAAUUUGAAGAUCAUUUGGGUACCGAAUUAGAUUAAAUAAAUCAACAUAACAAAAACUGUUUAAACAGAACCUUUCGUGUAAAUCACGAUUACAGAAGCUUAAAUGAUCUUCAAAUUGGAUGAACUUUGCAGAAAUGAUCUACACACUGUGUUUUAGACAUUGUACGGUUGAGAUGUGAAAAUGCGACCUAAAAGUGAGCGAAAUAAAGAGGUCCAUACUUUAAUUUCAAAGCGGGACACCGCUUUCGAAAGAAACUGUAUAUAUAUAUAUAUAUAUAUAUAUAUAUAUAUAUAUAUAUCAAUCAUCUUAAUUUGUUUUGAUUAGUCCAAGAUCUUGGAUCAUGCUGUGGCAUGUUUAUAUAUUAGAAUUCAACACAUAAAAUAAGCCAAGGAUAUUUCAUAAAGAUUUCGUAUAGCUCAUAGUAUAAUUUUGAUGCAAAAAUAUUAUUGGUCGAUUAGGCAUUCUGAUCAUAAAACGGUUGAUUUAAAAAUACGGAAUCAGAUGAUGUUUAUUACGAAUCGAAGAAACCGACUUUUAAUUAUACUCGUAGUCAUUUUCUUUGAUGAACUCCUUUAUUUCUUGCCUUUAAUUUCAAAAGUUAAUGCACUCAAAACUGAUGCUUUCAUGAUUGUAAAGAAUUUUCAAACGUUAUUACUUAUAAGUUAUAACAUAGCCAAAAGAGGUAAAACUAAGACGAUAUUAAAAAGCAGGGGUUCAAAUCAUAAAUAUGAAUACGUGAGGGGUAAGUUUGUGAAUUAGAAAAAAUAGUGAUUUACAAAGAGUUUGACUGGGAGCGAAGUUUGAGGGUGACAAAAAAAUAAAAACUGAUUUGAUUUUGCCACACUCUGUAACUCAUCAACAUCAGCAUCCUCACCAUUCUUGUCGUCCAUUGCAGUUUUCAGAAGAGAGACAUCAGACAUGGCCACUCUUAGAGUACCAGAAGCUGUUCCUUCUCCUGAACAAGACUGUGAGAGACUCCACAAAGCCUUUGAAGGUCCUUCUUCUUCUUCCUCUUCUGAUCAUAAAGAUUUUGUCUUCAGUUUUUUUUUUCAUGCAAUGUCUGAUGAUGGGUGAACUCAUUGGAUAUGUUAGCUUUCUGGGUCUUUUCUAAGAGUUUCCUGAUUGUCUUUCUGACUUUCAAUUGGUUGUUUUGAUCUGUUCAUGCCUCAGUUGGUCUUUAAUUAUUGUGUAGUAUCAAUUAUCAAAUGUCUUUUCUGGUUUUCAUGUUACGGGGCUGAAUUGCAUAUGAUUAUUUUUUUAUUAUCUUUGAGAAUUUUGACAUUCUAUCUUGAGAUGAUAUACACGAAUCAUUGGUGUGAUCAAUGACUUUGCUAGCUUCUGUCAUUCUUUGAUCAAUCAUGUUUCUUUGUAAUUAUAAGUGUUUCUGUUAACGAGUGUAGGAUUUGGAACGGAUGAGGAGGCUGUGAUAUGGGUACUGGGACAUAGGAAUGCAAGUCAAAGGAGAGAAAUCAGAGACACUUAUCAACGCCUUUACAAUAAGUCCCUCAUUGAUGUUCUCCAUUCUGAACUCUCUGGAGAUUUUAGGGUAAUUUUCUACAGUCCUUUGUGCUUCCAGAAUUGCUUAUGAUUCAUAUCAAGGGAAAGAAUAACUUCCAAUUUUUAAUGUCAGCUUUACUUAUUCGAUGUGUAUAUAUGUAUCAACGGAAGCAAUCAUGUGUAACAGGAUGCAGUAAUUAUGUGGACAUAUGAUCCUCCUGAAAGGGAUGCUAAACUGGCAAGAGACGCACUGAAGCAGAAGAAGAAAGGCAUAAAACAACUGAAAGUGCUAGUUGAGAUAGCAUGUGCAUCAUCUCCUCACCACUUGAUGGCAGUGAGGCAGGUCUAUGGUUCACUUUUUGAAUGCUCACUUGAGGAGGACAUUGCAUCCAAUCUUUCCCUCCCCCUCAGAAAGGUGAAAGCAUAUUGAAUAGCUAGGAAAUCAUAUACUUACUAGAAUUAUGCACAAAUCACUUGCAUGUCAUUCCCUAAAACCUAUGGUGUUGGUUCCUACUUGGUAGUUGGCAAUUGGCACUCUAGCAAUUACUCAAAGAGUUACCAAAAAAAAAAAAGGCACAAAAGUGGUUCUUUGGUGGUUUGAGAAACUCCCAUUGUGGGAUUCCUCAUGUCAUGAUUCUUUUCUGAGCUACAUUGUGUGAGCAUUUUGCAAGGAUAAGAAAGCUAUUAGUUGAUGAAAAUAAUAGAGAAGAAUGCUUAUUCUUGCAAAAGUUAUUAGGUAAUGAUAAUAAUGGAAAGAUUGGUGGUGUUCUGUUCCAGUGAGUUAUUUUGGCUCAAUAGUGGCAGACUCAUUAACAUUGGCUCCAGAAUGAGCCUCUGUAUGUUUGUAGAUUAUAAAAAUUGUCAAACUUCGAUUGUCUGAAUUAGUACUAUUGUAGUUGAUAAGAGGCAAAGGGAACUAUCUCAUACUAUUUGAACCAUACAUCUCUAUUUUCUCUUUUGUCUUGCAUGUUGGCAUAAAUCACAUAGACCUCUAUGGCCACUUUUCAAUACCAUAUAUAAGUUUCUGUGUUUCACUGGAACCAGAAAUUUGGCGAUUUACAUUUCUGAUCUCUUACGCAUUUAUAUUGUUGCAUUCUGUAACUAAUAAUGCGGGUUGCCCACAGCUUCUAGUGGGUUUAGUGAGCUCAUACAGGUAUGACAGAGAGCUAGUGGAUUCCGGCAUUGCCAGUUCAGAGGCACUGAAGCUACAUGAAGCCAUCAAGACAAAGCAGUUAGAUCACAAUCAUGUUGUUUCCAUACUCAGCACAAGGAAUAUAUUUCAGCUUAGAGAAACCUUUGAGUGUUACAAGCAAAACUAUGGAACUUCCAUUGACCAGGUAUUCGCUCUAGUAUUCUCUAUGUUUUUAUUUAAGUUAUUUUUAUUUUUAUUAUUUUUUGAUCUAGUUAAGGACUACAACAAAACACUAGAGUUCCGUUCUGGCAGGACAUUAAAAAUUGUGGCGCUGGUGAUUUGGAAUCUCUCUUGACCUUGGUAAUUACUUGCAUUGAUACACCAGAGAAACAAUUUGCACAGGUAAGUUCAUUCCUACGCACCAACAUACUAUAUUAUUCAUUUUGCUUAAAUAUCUACACAGCUUCAAAGUUCAAAUUGAAUGGCCUUUAUUGAACCCCAAAGAAUAAAGGUGGUGUUUGGUUGAAUUGUGGGAAUACUAUGUAGAUAUACACAUAUUUUGAUCUCAUACUUAUGAUUCUAUCCAAACAAUGGAAUUUAUCAACUGUUUCUGAUCUUCUCCCUCAGUCCUAUUCUUUUCUUUGGUUUCGAUGUACUUGGCAGCUGUGCAAUACAGCAAUAACUUGAAUGUGGACAAUAAUUCCCGUUCUCACUUGCUGUGUAAAGAAUAAUAGAGACUCCUUGGUCCCUAGAACAGUUUCAGUUUGACAACCUAGGCCAUGUUUUGGUGAAAUGUAUCUAAUCCAGCUUUCAAUGUUUUAACGUCGUAUCUCCUUUGUACUACUGCAUAUAUCCCCCUUUUUCCAUCAUGUUCAAACCCUCAUUGUAUGGAAGAUUCUUGUCUCCUAUUUCAUUUUCUGGUCCAGCAAUACCAAGCAGAUAAGUACAGAAGUUUCACUUAAACUAUCUGAUCUGACAUGAGUUUCUGUUGUUGCUUGAACCUUUAUCAGGUCAUUAAUGAGUCUGUGGUUGGGCUCGGGACGGAUGAAGAGUCUCUGAAUAGAGCCAUUGUAAGCCGAGCUGAGAUUGACAUGAUCAAAAUCAGAGAGGAGUAUUCCACACUUUUCAAAACCAGCCUGGAAGAUGAUGUUAAGGGUGACACAUCCGGAGACUACAAAGACUUCCUGCUGACCCUGCUGGGAGCAAGAUUCUGAUUCAUUCUUCUCAUAAGUACUCAUUUCAUUUCAUUUCAACUGAGACUUCUGAUUUGGUUUUAGAAGAAAGUUGUAUGAUUACAUUAGAGUUCCUAAACUGGUCAUUUACGUGUGGCUUUAUUGACAGUGUGUAAAUACUUUCAAAUUGCUUUUAUACUGUUUCUUUUUCUUUUUUGGUAAUUUGAGAGGAGAACCAAGUUGUAUAAUCAAAAUGGAAUUGUGAAGCAGCUCACCUUCAAAAUGGAAUUGGACAAUUGGUAUUCAUUGAUACACUGAUCAUGGCAUUGGCGUUUCCCAUAGUUAUUGUUUGGUCCCUCUUUCUAUCAUUGCCCCUGAGAAACUUUGUUGUAUGCCAAUGCCUCUCAUGUGUACAGUAAACUACAAGUACCAAUCAUGUUGAUUUUUAUUUAUUUUUUUUUUCCGCUUACGUUUUGCGUUCCUUCCUAUCCUCGAAAAAAUAUAAUCAUGUUGGUCUCUUUUUUGGAACUCCUGAAACUGCCCCCAUAUAUAUAGUAUGGGAUUUAGAAGUUGUGGGUGACCUUUCUUUUUCUUUCAUCGACUCCUCACCCUUAGCCAAACUCUUGGAAUCGUGCAUUCGCGCCAAGUCGGCGCGUGACGCGCGUUGCGUCCACGCCCGCCUCAUCAAAACACAAUUCUCGUCGGAGGUUUUCGUCCACAACAGGCUCAUCGAUGCGUACGCCAAAUGUGGCUCGUUCGAUGACGCACGUAAGGUGAUUGAUAAAAUGCCUGAGAAGACACUUUCAGCUGGAACUGCAUCAUUUCCGCAUUGACCAAGUUGGGUUUGUCGAUGAGGCUCUGCAGAGUUUUGGGUCGAUGCCGGAGCCAGACCAGUGCUCGUGGAACUCGAUGGUUUCCGGGUUUGUGCAGCACUGUCGGGUAUGAACAAGCUUUGGAAUGGUUUGUUAACAUGCAUGGGAAAUUGAGAAGGGUUUUGUUCUUAAUGAGUACGCGUUUGGUAGUGGUCUUAGUGCUUGUGCUGGUUUGAGGAAGGUGAAAAUGGGUGUGCAAAUUCAUGGGGUCAUUGCCAAGUCUUGUUGCUCUUCGGAUGUUUAUAUGGGGUCUGCACUUAUUGAUAUGUACUCGAAAUGUGGGAAUGUUGCUUGCACGCAACGAGUUUUUGAUUGCAUGAGUGUGAGAAACGUUGUUUCUUGGAACAGUUUGAUAACUUGUUACGAGCAGAAUGGUCCUGCCAGGGACGCAGUGCAAGUGUUUGUGGGGAUGAUGGAUAUGCCAAGGCAGCAAGUGUAAAAGUUGCAAGAACGUUGUUUACAAAGAUGAUGGAGAAGAAUGUAGUCUCUUGGAACAGAAUGGAGAGAAUGAAGAGGCCCUUGGAAUCUUUCUCCUCCUGAAGAGAGAGUCCGUUUGGCGUACCCACUACACAUUUACGAAUCUACUAAAUGCUUGUGCAAAUCGUGUUGAUCUGCUGCUUGGCAGGCAGGCAGGCUCAUUCACACAUAUUGAAGCAUGGUUUUCAGUUCCAGGUCGGUGAAGAGCCUGAUAUUUGUUGGAAAUUCUCUAAUAGAUAUAUACAUGAAAUGCUGUCGGAUUUUUAGAAAUAUGUUAGAAAGGGAUCAUGUCUCAUGUAAUGCAAUGAUUGUGGGACAUGCGCAAAAUGGAUGGGAGUCAUGGGACUGAAGCUCUUGAAAUAUUUAGAAAAAUGCUGGUCUCUGGGGUGCAACCAGCCAACCAGACCAUGUUACUAUGAUUGGUGUUCUAUGCGCUUGUAGCCACGCAGGAUUGGUUGAAGAAGGGAGGAAUUAUUUUUACUCGAUGAAUAAAGAGCACGGGGUGGUACCCUUGAAGGACCAUUAUAUAUACAUGUAUGGUUGAUCUGCUUGGUCGAGCUGGUUGCCUUGACGAAGCUAAGAAUUUAAUAGAGGUCAUGCCAGUGCAACCUGAUGCCGUUAUAUGGCGUUCUUUGCUAGCUGCUGGUGAAGUUCAUCGUAACAUUACCUUAGGGGAAUAUGUGGCGGAGAAGCUAUUAGCUAUUGAACCUCGUGUACCAUUUUCCGCAACACCUACAUUCAUUUUUGGAAACAAAAAAUCAGUGACUGCUUUCUCUUAAAGAGGUCAGUAACAGUAUAUUGUUAUCAAAUGUAAAACCUCCUUUGCAAUUUGAUAGUGGGAUAUUGGGUCGAGUCAAGAAAGGUAUCAUAUGCUUGUAGAGAAACUAUAUCCUUUUUAUGAUAAUAAUCUGAGUCCAAUGUUUACUCUACAACUUAAGGCUUAUCUUACACCUCAGCAUUUGAAAGCAUUUUUUUCUUCCAGUAAAAUUAGUUAUUAUAAUUGUUCAUGCCACUUCAGUUCAUUUCCUUAUAGAGUGCAAUAUUGAUUUUGGUUACUUUCAUUUUCUACAGAUGGAGGGUGGUUUUGCGGAUGAGCUUUACUCAGAAAGUUUACAGCUAUUAAAAUUGCAAUUAUACGAAGCGGUUUAGGUGGUAAUUUAAGUGGUUUUAGUUAAUUGGUGAUUUAAAAGAUUAAUACACACUAUAUUUGGAUAGCUAUAAGCCUAAAAUCACCGCAUGUUAGGGUUUUUUUUUACCUCUUUUGUUUUUGUUUUCCGGUUUCUUUUUUCUUCAAAGUAUGAUGUUAAUUAGUACACAGUCAAGAUCAAUCUGGUAACUGCAUUAAUAGAGCAUCCGGUAUGUGUCAUAUCUGAAAUAUCUCUAUUAAUGCAGAUACCAUAUCGAUCAAAUUGUGUAUUUUUCCUUUUCUUAUUCUUUCUUUACUUGUCGUUGUUUUUACUUUUCUUAUUCUUUUGAUCAGAUUGUGUAUUUUUCACUUGCAUUUGCAGCAACUGCAUGCGUUACCGAUGGAUCAACUGUCUUUAACAAGCCGCCAUCUUCCACAACGGAUGUAUCAGCCUGCACAUAUGUUUGAGGGGAUGACACGGCUCAAAACAAUUUUACUUACAGCCAUUCAAGCCUUCUUUCUUUACCCUUUCCAAAACAGGCCUAACAUCUCUGUCGAUAAGUUCACACCCAUGUAACUCCACUGCAUUAAAGAAUAAGUUGUGUAUAUGCCUAAGAACUUGGAGUACAGUGGCCAGAAAAGGUCUUCCAAACCGAUCACGUUCAUCGGUCUUUGACUCAGAGUAAGGCUUAGCAUUACUGAUGCCAAACUUCUGACAACUCGAUUUGAAAAAAUGAUAUCUUGGCAUUACCAUUACAUUGUCCUGGUCCUCAUUUCUCCACACCUGUUUCUUAUCAUCAAGGAUCACAACAGCAGUGCCUCGGGCAAGUAAAACAUCUAGACCCUUUUGAUUCUUUUCCGUGCUUUCACCUCGUGAUAUGAUCCUAUCACCAAACAAUUGAUUUGCAGGGUCAAGCAGUUUGGCCAUGUGGAGCGCAUAGUCUCUGCUACCAUUCGUAUAUAUGGAAAGCUCAUAGAUUUGGCUAGCUUGCUCUAAAAAUGUCCUAACUUGUGGCCUCAGCUUGGUCAUCACUUGACCUUCCACAAUGUGAACAUCCUGCAGAGAAUGAUCAGCCUUCAGAUAUUCUUCUUCCGGUGACAUCUUGUCAAGGUGAGUGGUAUUCAGCAGGGUGUGGUCGAGAUCGAGAACCAAAUGAAGUUUCUUAUGCUUCACCAAUAGGUUUCUAGUGUUUUCGUUGCGUAAUCGACCGAUUACGUCAUCACUAAGCCCCAAAUCCUUGGUAAUGUAACCAAAUCUCAAUCCACCAGAAGACCUGAAAAUUUCAUCACCAGAAAAUCUUGCAUCUUGUUGAAUUUCCAGAUCGGUUUCUGUCUUGGGCCUCUUUGUCUUGUCAUGUAUGAAACCCAGGUCAGAAACCAAACCUCGGUUCCUCUUGCGACACCCAACAAGGUUGUCGAUCGGAGUCGGAGACACGGUCGCCAAACUCAUCAUGAUGAUCAAAUUGAGAUCCAAGAACAAUCGGAUUAGGGUUUCGCAAUUGGGAAAUUUGGGGAAUGAGAGAUGAAAGAGAAAAAUAGAAGCGAGAGAGCAAAGUGAGAGAUGGAAAGGAAGUAAAGAGGGUGAGUGUUAAAUAGAGGAGGCGCGUGUGUGUAAAUCCUAAUCGUAAUUCGAUUAGGAAAGCGCGUCCUUUCUCAGAUAUUUACUAAAGCGCGUUGGAACACCUGAACACCCUGUAAUUAAUAUUUUACAUUAUUUAUUUAUUUUACAUUUUAAAGGACGUUUUGUUUCUAAAGUGUAUAACAAACUCAAUUUAAUUAUCAUAUUUUUUUUCAUUCUUAAAAAAAAAAAUUAAAAAAAAUUAUCCAAUUGUAUAGAAGAAACAACUUAUAAUUGAUAUUUACAUUUUCUUUUUCAUAUAUCCUACAUUUUAAAGGAUUUGUAUGCAAUUCAAUUUAAUUAUCUAAUUAUUUAUAUGGGGUUUUUAUAAAAAGGGGCUGUUGAAAUUUAAUGUUAUAAUAGUAGAAAAUGCUCCUUGUAACCAAAACAACCAAAAAAAAAAAAAAGGCUCCUUGAUAUGCCUAAUAAUAAUAAAAUACCCUUACUUUUUUUUUUUGUGAAAGUGGGAAGCAUUAAAUGAGGGAAAUAAUUUGGGUGACCAGCUAUGGUCAUUUAUGAGUGAUAAACACCAUGAGAGAUGAACAAGUGUCAACAAUAAUUAUAAACAAACAUAUCAAAUACCCAAAACCCCCUGUUAUAUAUGUCCUUAAAUUGCAGCUAAGCUUUUUUAAAAUGAACAUGUGUCCCAUGUUCAUUGGCUGUGGUCACCUAACCCUUGUCACCGAAGUCGGGUUCUAUUCUUAAAUUAGUCGACCUUUUAAGAUUGAACGUUAAAAAAUUGAUCAUAAGCCAUAAAUCAAAUAUACGUACAUGAGAGAUGAUUAUUGUUCGAUCUUCAUAAGCUUUAAACCCUAGACGCUAAACCCAUAUCCACUAGUGGUGACUAUUGUUUGAUCAUUAUAAACCCUAAACCAUAUAUGCACUAGAACGGUGAUCAUGGAUCAAUCAUCACAAACCCUAAACCAUGCAUGCAUAUAUUAGGGUUGACUAGUGCUCAAUCAUCAUAAACCCUAUAUACACUAGAGCUGUCAGGAGCUCGAUCAUCAUACUAUAUACACUAGAGGUGACUAGUGCUCGAUGAUCAUAUACCAUGUGUACGCUAGAGCUGAAUAUUAGUCGAUCAUCUACUAAAGGUCACAUUAACGUACUCGAUCAUUAUAAUUCGUAAAUCAUAUAUAUAUAUAUAUAUAUAUAUAUAUACAGUCCUUCUCAGCUGCAGACGUUCACNNNNNNNNNNNNNNNNNNNNGUUAAGGCCCUCAAACUCAAGUUUUCUGGUAUGAACACAACCGGACAGAAUUCAGUCCGUCCAUUUGUUUUUGAGUUUGAGGGCCUUAACGAUCACCAAAUUGGCUGAAAUUUUGCAGACAUGAUAUACACAAUAUUAUCUAGAUACUAGACGGUGGAGAUGAGGAAAUUCGAUCGAAAAGUGGUGCAAAAAUGGAAAUCCGCACAAAAAAAUUGGUGCGGACGUCCGCAGCUAAGAAAAUCUGUAUAUAUAUACAGUCAUUCUCAGCUGCGGACGUCCGCAUUUAUUCUUACGGUGCAGAUUUCCACUUUACACUCACUUUUCAAUUGAAUUUUCAUAUCUCCACCGUCUAGUAUUUAGAUACUAACGUAUAGAUCAUCUCUGCAAAAUUUCAACAAAUUUGGUUAUCAUUAGGGCACUCAAAAUUGCGUUUUUCUGUUAUAAACAUGAACGGUUCAAGUUCGACAUAAUUAUGUUCAUCCAUUAGUUUAAUCAGUUUAAGUGCCUUAAUGAUAACCAAAUUGGCUAAAAUUUUGCAGAGAUGAUCUAUACAUUAGUAUCUAAAGACUAGACGGUGGAGAUGUGAAAAUUCGAUUGAAAAGUGAGUGUAAAGUGGAAAUCCGCACCGUAAGAAUAAAUGUUGACAUCCGCACUUGAGAAAAUCUGUAUAUAUAUAUACACACACACAUGAGAGAUGAUUAUUAUUCAAUCUUCAUAAGCCCCUCAACCCUAUAUAUAUGAGAGAUGACUUGUACUCGAUCAUCAUAAACCUUAAACCAUGCAUACAAUAGGGUUAACUAGUGCUCGAUCAUCAUAAACCUUAGAUACAUGAGGUGACUAGUGUUUGAUCAUCAUAUACCAACUAGACACUAAAGGUAACUAUUGAUCGAUUUUCACAAACCCUGAACCAUGUAUACAUUAGAGGUUGAUAUCGCUCGAUCAUCAUAAACCCUACACCAUGCAUGUCAAGACCCACCCUGAAUUUCACCCUAAAACCCGAAAUAAAUCCUACGGGGACCACCUCCAAGGAAAGUUUACCGAAAAUUCGGCAUAACCUCUUUUGAAAAUGGACAACCCUUCCUAAUAAUACCUGCAUACACUUCAGAAAAUCCAAAUCCAAAUCCAACCUUAAACUCUUGGAGCCUUCGUGCUCCCCAAAUCACAUCUCCCAAUUUAUUUACUAACUUUAAAAAGAAAAAUCUCAUAACCAACAACCACAAUUCAGAGCAACUCUAUUUGAGAGGAAAAGAACUAGAAAUAUAAAAAUGAGCGGAAGCUAUACUAUUGACUAUGUCUCUUCUCCAUAUACACCCGACCUCAACUAUGCUAACCUGCAUACUGGGCAUUUUUAAAACGAAGGGCCCAGGGGAAAACAUUUGAAACCGUUAGAGUGAGUGGACAAAAAUGAAUUCAAUAAAAAUAUUGAUGCAUUCCCAAUUUAAUUUUUCAUAGAAAUUAUGCCGCAUGUAAUAAUUUGUCUUUAUUUUCGUAUUAAAUAUUUGAUUUCAACAAUAUGAUUUUAGGUUUUAUGUUCUUUAUAAUUAUAUGUUUGUCUUUUCUAAUAUUUUGCUUUUUAUUUUCGUUUUAUGUACAUAUAGAAAUGUUUUAGGUGUUGUGUAUGCGAAGUAUAGAGAGUGAUAUGUUACCUCUAAAAUCGAAGACUUAUUCUUGUGAGCUUUAGAUGAUAGACUCUAAUAUUUAAUUUAUUUUUCUCUUCUUUAUUCAAAUUUAUGAUUUUUAAACUUUAAAAUUCGAAAUUUAUUUGGAUGGACUUUAAACUAUGGAGUCUAUAUUUUAUGUUCAAGAUGAACUUAGAAGUUUUAAAAUUAUGGUUUCAUGGUGUGCUAGUGUGGUCAAUUCCCAAUACUUUUGAAAUUAUUGAGUAUUAAACUUUCAAAGUAUCUAUUUGGUUUAUAAAUUGUUGGUUUGUUGAAGAAACAUUGCCAAAAAAAUUUAUUGAUAUAUAUAUAUAUAUUAUAUGUGCUUAUAAAAACAAGUAAUGGAAGGAAAAAAAAAGGACCUAAAAUACGAUAAUUUUUAACUAAGCCAAAAGCAUACAAAUUUUAAGAAAAAUUAUUUAAAAAAAGAAGAAGAAAAACCGAAACCGAACCGAACCACAGUUUGGUUUGGUUUCCAGUUCAAGGUCUCAAAAAAUACCAAACCGAACCGAACCGAACCGAAUUUUUUAUUCGGUUUGGUUUCCGGUUUUAGUUGAAAACCAAACCAAACAAAACCGAACCCACCCCUACCAUUUAUAAUUAAUCUGACAGCAGAAUACGAUCCGAAAAUCAUUUAUGGACAACUCUUGCACACACUUAGCGCUGCAGUUUCGAAGCCCAACAACUUCUGACCAAUGUAUCAUCAACUACGAAAUCACACCUGAGUAAACUACAUUGAUCGUCAAAAGCAAUGACAACCGGAAACAAGACUUAGCUUUUAAUACUGUCGCGCUGAGCAUGCAAAGAGCACCAAGUUACCUAUCGCACGUUGAAAUUAGUUUUCCAAACAGGAUCCACUACUACACUUUGUGGUUCGCUAACCAACAGAAAUUAUGAGUUUAAGUAAAAGUCAAAACUCAGGGCAAAUCUCUGCUCAAGCUUCAGAAUAACUAGCUUAUAGAACUUGAGGACAAAUUCCAUAACUUCGAGCUCAAAAGCUUCACAAUUCUCUGACAUUCGUUGGAAGACCCAUCUCAAAAACGUACUAGAAAUCAAAAUUCAAUAGAAUGGUUUCUACUAACCACCCUAACCCUACUGGUGAAAACACAUCCAAACAUUAAUGACCUCGCAGGUCAUACCUGGAUCAAUAAGUGGUUCUACCACGAUCUGAUCCUUAGAAAAGACGUCGCACAACUUAUCAAUAUCUACUACCCUCAAUAUUAUAACUCUUAAUAAACCUUGACUCUAGACGCUUCUUGAGUCAAUGGGGGAAAACCCUCUCCCAUAAGGCUACAUCAUGAAUUAUACCUACAACGAAACAAACCAUCUAUUCAACAUCUCCACACGACUCUCAGACUACCACAUAAGACUUACGACUCCAUGAUUCAUCGCUUAAUUGAACUCCAACUCACUUGGGAUCACCACUGGAUUUAUCCCUGAUCCAUGUCUACGACAUAACUACCAAUUUAUCAUUUAUCUCGAAACUUCGACAAAAUAACCAGAAUCUCUAACCUUCAAAUCGUAGCGUUGAAUUCGCACUCCAUAAUUUCAAGCUCUGAGGAUGCUACCCAAAAACUACAGUAGGAAUACUUUAUAUAUUCUCACACACACCACAACCAAAACUCUGCUCCAUCUCACCGAAUUAGAAAUAAGGUGAGUGAACAUAUUCUCCCAUUGAUGUGUCGUAGCUAGUCACUAAAUGCUAACGAAGUGAUGUCAAUAAACCAACUUCGAUCACAAAUUCAAGACUUAUAUCAACCACCCGGAACGACACUGCUUAAAAAAAUUACUUUGGACACCCACGCACUCUUGCUCCAUGAUCCAUUGGGUUUUAUUCCACUGCUACCACUUCCACCAACUCCACGCAACUGCUAUAGAAUACCCAUGACAACAAGCAAUAAAUUCACCAGGUGUUAUCGUAAAACUGGAGUGACCACAACCAUCUCGCUCUCACUCCACCAUUACUUUUCAAUUCCAUUUACAUUUAUCAUCUUCCAAAAACACUCAACAAAUCUGGAAACCAAACUUCAACACCUAGAAUUCCAAAAGAAAUCUAUAAUGGUCCACGAUUAAAAUAAUAUAACCGAUAUCUCACUCCACGAUUCCAAACUUGCUUGAAACUUAAACCAUUUAGUGCCAUCAUUCAAUUUCUAAAAUUCGCUGACUGUGACACCACAAGUUGUCACAACGCACUGACCAAUGACUUUCGUAAAACCAACGACCUAAAGAAAAGCAAUCCAAGUCAUUAUACUUAAGGUUUUAACCAACUACAACUAACCCACAUUAGAGACCAAAAUCAUCAGAAAUCUUACUCUUCAUUGUCUACUAAUAGCCGUCAUUCCCAAAAUAUUCUCACUACUGUCUUAAUAUAAUGCUCUAGGAAUAAUAAAAACAUAUUCAUAAUUAGAGUUGUAGAAACCAGAACAUAUACCGCCACAACCAAUAUUAUCCCAACAUGUUCCCAAUUGAUUUCUGUUGCGGAUAAAAUAGUCGGCAAAAUGACCUUCAAUUAAGACUUAUCUAAAUUGACAUUUAUCUUUUUAUGUAGCAACUUCCUGCAACCCAAUACUAGUCACAAAUCCCAUGUGACUAAUUCGCUCCGGAUUAGGGUCCUCAACAACUCGUAAAGGUACCCCUUGGAAUUACUAUGGGUACCUCUCGCAUCACUUCAACCAACCUUUACCUCAAAAUAAUACACCAUUAUUUCAAACUUUUCUUUCAACUCUUCUAUCCCAAAAAUCACAUAACUCGAUACCACGAUUUUCCAUCAGACUACUACAACUUCACACUUUCCCACUAUAAUUAGUGAAAAGCUUCAAUUAAACUUUUCACCUUCUACAAAUUCGCACGAGAUGCUCACCCUAGCAUCUUAAUCAUAACGCAAUCAAUCAUUGGUCAAAUGAAAGGAAUGUUGCCACUCAUAUGAGUUCCCAACUGGAGUUCCCAACUCGCAAUUGAACUCUAACAAUUUAUGAUAUCAACUCGAUAACCCUUGGAAAAGGCAUAAUCCAAACACCUCCUUCCUUAAUCAAAGUAGGAUGAUCACUUAAGAGGUCGGCGUAUGGAGGCAUAGUCUUGAAGAUAUAGACAUUUAUGGCACAAUACUGUCCAUAAAUAAGAUAAGAACAACUACAUCACAAAUUUAAUCAACACAUAGUGUCUAAAACAUAUAAUGCUAAUGGAUCCACCGCGGUCGGACCAUCACUCUAUAGACACUAAGCAUGACCAAGAAUAUGAGGUAGUACUAAAAAGAGAAAGGAAUCGAAUAACCUAAUGCUCUGAUACCAACUGUCAAGACCCACCUCGAAUUUCACCCUAAAACCCGAAGUAAAUCAUGCAGAGACCACCUCGAAGUAAAGUUUACCGAAAAUUCGGCAUAACCUCCCUUGAAAAUGGACAACCCUUCCUAAUAAUAUCUGCAUACAAUUCUGAAAAUCCAAAUCCAACCUUAAACUUCUGGAGCCUUCAUGCUCCCCAAAUCACAACAUCUCCUAAUUUAUUUACUAACUUUAAAAAGAAAAAUCUCAUAACCAAUAAUUAUAGUUCAGAACAACUCUAUUUGAGAGGAAAGGAACUAGAAAUAUAAAAAUGAGCGGAAGCUAUACUAUUGACUAUGCCUCUUCUCCAUGUACGCCCGACCUCAACUAUGCUAACCUGCAUACUGGGCACUUUUAAAACGAAGGGCCGAAGGGAAAAUAUUUGAAACUGUUAGAGUAAGUGGAAAAAAAUGAAUUCAAUAAAAAUAUUUGUGCAUUCUUAAUUUAAUUUUUCAUAGAAAUUAUGCCGCAUGCAACAGCUCAAAAGCUCUCAACUCAUAAACUGACAAAUACAUGACUAGCUCUGGCUAGUCUCCAAAACUUAAUAAAAUGGAGCCUCUCAUGCUAAACUAUAUAUAAAUAUAUGUGUAUGUAUUUACACUCGUCAGACUCCUUGUACAAAUUCUAUGAACAAAAUAGAAAAAUAGAAAUUCAUACAAAGCUAGGACACUUGCGUCUAACGCUCACGACGUCGCGCCAUAAUGGAAUUUUUCCUCAUUAUGACCGAAGAGGACGGAUGUAUAUACGUGUGGACUCUCUAUAUGAAAACCUAUAUGAACAAAAUAAGAAAAUAGUUUUCAUAUAGGGCUACGACGCUUAUGCAUGUCUAACACUUACGUCGCGCCAUAAUGGAAUUUUACCUCAUUAUGACGGACCAAGCACGUAUGGAUAGCUAGCAUUUACAUACAUACUAUACUCAUAAACAUCUAAUAUACAUAUCCACCGAAAAUCUUAUUUUCGGUGACUCUCCAAAAGAUGAAAAAUGCCAAAUAUCAGAGAAAACAAUUAAAUUUCAGCAGAAGAAUAACUUAUCAACAAUAUAAUGCAUCGCAUGCUUUUAAUUAAAACAAAAGUCCACUCACAACUUUAGGCAUAAGCCCGACGAAAUCCAAUCGCCACUCCAGUGAGGUCUCCUCGAAUCCUGGCACAAUUAAUAACCAUGGACCAAACUUCAAUUUCAGAAAAAGAAUACUUAAAUAUAUGACCCAAAACUUUUCCGUCUAACCCACUACCCUUUCUAGGGUUAAGCUUAUCGGAUUCAUGCCAAACUCUACCCGUAACCUCAUUUUAUUUAUUUCAACAUUCUAAAACAAUAAUAAGAGAAAUCCAACGGUCGGAUUCUACCCCAUUAACCGCCAAAAUACCAAACUUUGAAAAAUCCUAAACCUAUCCAAAAUUCCUCUAAAAAUUCCAAACUUCACAUCAAUAGUCUCCCCUUAAUAUAACACAUUUAAAACCAUGAAAAUCUCCCUAACAGCGGCGGCGCCGCGUCUGGCCGACUCCGGCGAUCUCCAAUGCCUAUCAAAUUUUAACAGCAUCUUCCUCUCAACCCACUCUACAACUUUUCUAACUAGCACAAACACAAAUUCCAAGCCUAACUAAGUCAAUUGAACAGAAACAUAUCAAGAAACCCUAGAACUUCAACUCAAUGAUUCUCCUUACCUAGCUCAAGAGAGGGUGAAACCUUUUGAGGGAUUGAUGCACAAGAGGAGAGCUUCCAAAAAAGCCAAGCAGGUCCCGCUAUUGCGGCCGGAGGAGGGAGUUUCGGUGAAGGACUUCCACUGCAUAGUCGGAGCUUCCAAGCGUGCCUACUCCCACACGGCGACGCUAGGGUGGCUCUCACCGGUCCAGGAAGAAGGCUGGGUCGAUGGCUGACCGUUUGGGACCAGUGCGGCGGCCUGACUUGGCCGGACGACGUCGGUUGGAGCCGAAGAAAAUCCGGCAGAGUGAGAGAGAGAGAGAGCGUCGGGAGGGAAGAGAGAUAAGAGAGAGAGAAGAAAAAUGUUGGGCUUUUCCCAACCGGUCCUAACCCACCAAUAAAAACCCAACUCCAAAAAUUAACACCCCAAAAAUAUUACCCUAAUAAAAAUUACCUUUUUACUAGCUAAAAUUUAACAUUUUUACCGUCUUCAAAUAUUUCUCCUACAAAUAAUUCUUCAAAAUAAUCGUCCCUCAAAACAUCUCUAGGGAUUUUUGAAACUAUAAACUCCUUUACGAAGAUGGUAAAACUUUUAUUAAUACCAAGUCAGUAAAUAUAGUAAAAAAUUUAAGAGUCAGAAUGUGACAAUACAUACAUUGGGGUGACUAGUUCUCGAUCAUCAUAAACCCUAUUAACACUAGAGGUGACUAGUACCCGAUUAUCAUAUAUCAUGUACACACUAGAGUUGAUGAUUGGUCGAUCAUCAUAAAUCAUAGACCUUACAUACAAUAGAAGUAACAUUAACUUGAUCAUCAUGAACCGUAAAUCAUAUAUACACGAAAGGUGAUUAUUGCUCAUUCUUCAUAAACCAUACAUCCAAUAUACACAUAGGAUGACUAUUGAUCGAUCGUCAUUAACCCUAAAUCAGAUAUACACGGGAGGUAUGUGCUUCAUUAAAUGUGCUCGAUGAUCCUAAAUGGUCUUCGUGGCCUAAAAUGAACCAUGUAACAGUAUACCAUCACAACUCUAAACAUAAUAAAGAUUCAUUUGUGAAUGGAAAGGCAGUCAUUAUACAAGUAGGAAGUCACUUGUGCGUGAGAAUAUGUUUAUAUAUUUCUCGUAACACGCUCGAUCUUGGUUGUUCUUUAGAGUGAGGCUACUUCUCUUAUAUGCAAGAUUUACCUAUUUUGUAAUAAAUGUCUACUCAUUUCAUAAUCGAAGUCUACUAGUUUCAUGAGACACUUGCUUAUUUAGAAGUAGACUUUUCUAUGUAAAGUCUACUCAUUUUGUAUGUUAAGUCUACUAUUUUCACGAGAGACUUGCUCAUAUAAAAGUAGACAUAAUGGGGGAGUUGGUUUUGAGAGUAUCACCUAGUGAGACCACGAUUUGGAGUAGAAUUUGAGCUUUGUAAUCGAAGUCUGGGAGUUGUCAACCACCAUCGAUAAAUCUUUCAUCUUUCUUGAUUAAAAUGGUGGGGUGGCUAUCCUUGAUGAUACAAUGAUAUUGAGGUUUAUGGUAAUUGAAAAUUUUGGGAUGGAGAUCGAUGAACCAUUCUUAACCAUGAAUAUUAGGAGUAUCAAAGGAAUUCGAUUUCGGGGUGUUGUUUGAUUUUGGGCUAAUUCAUUGUGUGAUUCUUCAGUUUAUGAAUUUGUUUCAUAGCCUAAGAGGUUGAAGAAGAAGAAGGAGAGAGAGAGAGAGAGAGAGAGAGAGAGAGAGAGAGAGAGAGAGANNNNNNNNNNNNNNNNNNNNUCGUUAGAGGGUUUUUUUUUUUUUUUUUUUUUGCAUUUACAAAAAUCCAUUACAACAGUUACAAAACUCCGUUAAACUGUUAUUUUAUGUGAACCUACGUGGACCAAUAAGACAAUGACACCUUACAAGGUAUGGAUACUCGAAGGGAUAGAAGUCUUUCCCUUAAAUUAUAUAAUUUUUUUUAAAGAAUUAUUAUAUAACUCACCCACUCUUACAUAUGUAUGUGAGGUUUGAACCGACCUCAACGUUGUCGGUCAAAUUACCUACCAAGCUACAACUCACCAACCAUUUAUAUACAUAAAGUUAGAAAACAUAAAUUUUAAUACACAAAAUUCUAACCAUUUAUCUAGAUGUACAUGAACUUUAGUGCACAUAAUCAUUUUCUACAAAAAAUGAGCUAACUGUGCACACAAUCUAGAAAUUCCCUUCAUCUAGAUGCUAUCAGAAUACAAUGGAAGCAGAGUUUUCACAAGUAUCAGUUAUCACUGUGCUACUUUGUUUCACUUCUACUAGUGCUUGGCUAGGAUCUCUUACAAGUACUGCAGAAGUAGCAUUUUCUGAUUCAGAACCACUACCUGGUUCUUGGAUUUUCCCAAGUUAAAAUACAUUUGAUUUUGUUAAUGAAAUAAAUAGAUCCACACAUGCACAGUUUGGAAUUGCCUCAUCUGCCCUUGUCCUCUUUCUUACCUUUCCCUCCUCUUUCACAGUUUCACGUAGGAGAGGUCGAGUCAAUGUUGAAAGAGAUGAAGCAUGAAGGAUGAAGCUAAGCUUAUUCCAUUCCCUCCAAAACCCUUGUCGACUUUACCUCCUGCCCUUUAAAUCCAGAACCCUAAACCCAACCCAAUUAGCUCAAUUCUCCACACACCCGCAACAACAAAUCUCACACCAACCCCACAACAAGUCCAUCUCCUACUCUAACCUAUUGUCUCAAUGCGUUGCUUCCAAAUCUGUGCGUGUGGGCAAACAGGUCCAUGCCCACUUGAUCAGAUUCGGGUUCUCCCAAGACUCGACCUUUCGGAACCAUUUGAUCAACCUCUAUGCAAAAAGCAGGUUUUUUGGGCAUGCCCGGAACCUGCUCGACCAAUGUCCUGAACCAGAUUUGGUUGCUUGGUCUGCUUUGAUUUCUGGGUAUGCCCAAAAUGGGCUUAGUCGAGAAGCCCUUUCGGCUUUUCAUGAGAUGCAUGGAUUGGGGGUGAAGAGUAAUGAGUUCACCUUCCCAAGUGUGCUCAAGGCUUGCUCUAGUUCUAAAGAUUUGAGACUGGGAAUGCAGGUUCAUGGGGUGGUGUAUGUUACCGGGUUUGAGUCCGACGAGUUUGUUGCUAAUGCUUUGGUUGUUAUGUAUUCGAAAUGUGGGGAGUUUGGGGAUACAAGGAAGUUGUUUGAUGUGAUGCAGGAAAGGAAUGUUGUGUCGUGGAAUGCCUUGUUUUCGUGUUAUGUGCAGAGUGAUUUCUUAUUGGAGGCAAUGGAUUUGUUUGAGGAAAUGGUGCUGAGUGGAGUAAGGCCUGAUGAGUAUAGUCUGUCUAGUAUAAUAAAUGUUUGUACCGGGUUGGGGGAUGGUAGAAGAGGAAGGAAACUUCAUGGAUAUGUAGUAAAGCUUGGGUAUGAUUCGGAUUUGUUCUCAGCCAAUGCCCUUGUCGACAUGUAUGCAAAAGCCAUAUGUCUUGAAGAUGCAGUUUCAGUUUUUGAGGAAAUUGCACAACCUGAUGUUGUAUCCUGGAAUGCUGUCAUUGCUGGUUGUGUUCUUCACAACUGCCAUGGUCGGGCGCUCAAAUUUUUCAGGCAACUGGGAGGGUCAGGUAUCCGUCCGAAUAUGUUUACAUUAUCAAGUGCGCUUAAAGCUUGUGCUGGGUUGUCUUUCGAGAAAUUGGGUAGGCAGUUGCACUCUUUCUUGGUAAAGAUGGAUACAGAAUCAGAUUCAUACGUCAAAGUCGGACUGAUAGAUAUGUAUUGCAAGUGUGAGAUCAUGACUGAUGCAAGGCUGCUUUUGAAUAUGAUGCCAAAGAAAGACAUGAUUGCAUGCAACGCUGUUAUCUCUGGUCAUUCACAGAUGGCCGAAGACAUAGAAGCUGUAACCCUCUUUCCUGAAAUGCAUAGGGAAGGAAUAGGAUUCAAUGACACUACUUUAUCUACAGUUCUUAAAUCCAUUGCGAGCAUGCAGGCAGCAAAAGUUUGCGAACAAGUUCAUGCUCUUUCAAUCAAAACAGGUUUUCUGUCUGACAGGUAUGUUAUAAAUAGCCUUCUUGAUGCAUAUGGAAAGUGUGGUCAAGUAGAAAAUGCAGGAAGGAUUUUUGAAGAAUGCAAAACUGAAGAUUUGGUGGCUUUCACAUCAAUGAUCACUGCCUAUGCUCAAUAUGAACAAGGUGAAGAAGCUCUAAAACUCUAUGUGCAAAUGCUACAUAGGGGGAACGAGCCUGAUUCAUUUGUAUGUAGUUCUCUUCUGAAUGCUUGUGCAAAUUUGUCCGCGUAUGAGCAAGGGAAGCAGAUUCAUGUUCACAUUCUGAAGUUUGGAUUCUUAUCUGAUGCUUUUGCCGGAAAUUCCCUUGUUAAUAUGUAUGCAAAAUGUGGAAGCAUAGAAGAUGCAGGUCGUGCUUUCUCUGAGGUACCCCAGAGAGGAAUAGUUUCAUGGUCUGCAAUGAUUGGAGGACUUGCUCAACACGGACAUGGAAAAGAGGCCAUCAAUAUGUUCAAUCAUAUGCUCGGAGAUGGUAUUUCCCCCAAUCAUAUUACUCUAGUCAGUGUCCUCUGUGCGUGCAAUCAUGCAGGUUUAGUAACUGAAGCCAGAAAAUAUUUUGAGUCAAUGAAAGAGCUGUUUGGAGUAGUGCCAAGGGAGGAACAUUAUGCCUGCAUGAUUGAUAUUCUUGGCAGAGCAGGAAAGAUACAGGAGGCAAUGGAGCUUGUCAACACGAUGCCAUUUCAAGCAAAUGCCUCAGUUUGGGGAUCACUUCUUGGUGCUGCAAGAAUCCAUAAAAAUGUGGAGCUUGGUGAACGUGCUGCUGAUAUGCUCUUAGUUCUGGAGCCUGAGAAAUCCGGUACUCAUGUACUUCUUGCAAACAUAUAUGCAGCAGCUGGCAUGUGGGACAAGGUAGCGAAAAUGAGAAGACUUAUGAAAAACAACCAGGUAAAGAAGGAACCUGGGAUGAGUUGGAUUGAGGUCCAAGACAAGGUACAUACCUUUAUUGUAGGUGACAGAAGUCAUUUGAGAAGCAGGGAGAUAUAUGUAAAACUUGAUGAGCUGCUUGACCGUAUUCAUAAAGCCGGCUAUGUUCCAAUGGUGGAAAACGACCUCCAUGAUGUGGAACAAAGCGAAAAGGAGCGGCUGCUACGGUAUCACAGUGAGAAGCUUGCAGUGGCUUUCGCAUUGAUUGCCACUCCGCCAGGAGCUCCGAUUAGGGUGAAGAAGAACUUAAGAGUGUGUGUAGAUUGCCAUACUGCAUUCAAGUUCAUCUGUAAAAUCACCUCAAGGGAGAUAAUCGUGAGGGACGUCAAUAGAUUCCAUCAUUUCAAAGAUGGCUCAUGCUCUUGUGGGGAUUACUGGUGAUUUCUACUGGAUAACAGGAUCAUUUUCCUUAUUAUCCAAGACCAAAAUUUUGUAUCCCAUUUGAUGAACUGUAUAACUUUUAAGUUCUAACAUAGAAAAUAGAAACUAAACCAACUUCACUGAUCAAAAGUAUUCAAUGCCUCUUUAGUCUAUCAAAUUCUGGACAUGACCAUGACUUCAUAUAAUUCUCAGACAAACCAACAUCGCCAAACGAAGAUGGCUUUCCGCCAUAGUCAAUCUGUUUAACCUAUUGAAAAAUGGAUAAUGUACAUGUAACAUUUAGAGAAAAAAGUGUUUGUUCCUUGGAUUUCUUAUACUAAAACAUCAAUGAGAAGAGGUCACGAUCCCAAGGCAGAAAACACAAACACAGUAUCAAGAAGAGGUCACGAUCCUCCGUUCAUCAAGAAGAGCCUGAUUUGAAGAAUGAUGCUUGACCUUUAAGUAUAUCAACCUGCUUAUAACAGUGUUGGUGAUUGCCUUAAGGGUAACCAUUGGAGGCUUGCAAUCAUUUCUUAAAAUUCUAUUGUUUCUGUGUCUCCAAAUGGCAUAAACCAGGCCUUUGUUACAAUAGAAGCAAAGUCAGUAAUGCAGGCACCAUUAUACACAUUAUACUGUACUUGGGCAGUACAGUAUGGAAGUUGCAACUUUGAAUUUAACAUAUUUCCAAAACCAUUCAUAAGAGCACUGUAAGUUGCAACUUGUGGGAGUAUAUUCCUUUUAAGCAUGUGAGGGAUUAGUUUCUGGUUCUCCUUGCUUGCACAUACUCUUCAGGACUGCAUUGUAACUUUGUAAGUGUUACGAGUAAAGGCUUCUGCUUUGAUGAUACAUCUCGUCAAUAAAUCUCAAGGCUUCCUCCCCCUGCAAUACCCAUCAACAACGAUAGUGCAAGGGAUAUCAUCAGGUCUAGCACACCCAUUACUUCAUUAGAUAAAGGUAUUUGUUCCUCUAUGGUUGAUGCAUAAGUUUUGUAUGUGAAUUCAGGUUUUAGACAUGGCAUUGUCCCUUGGCAAUUUUUCUGUCCCUCUUUGUAUCAUUGCCCCUGAGGAACUUUGCCGUUUACCAACGCCUCUGCUGUGCACAUAAUCCCUUCUAAGACAAAAAGACUAAACUGUGUACGUUUUCUAAUCUAUAUUCCAUCUAGAAUACUUCCUAUAGCUUCAAAGAUGACGGAAGCUAAAUUUUCGGAAGUAGCCGUAAUUACUGUGCUAGUUUCUUUGACUUCUAUAAGUGCUUCGCUAGGAUCAGUUACAAGUAUUGCAGUAGAAUUUUCUGAUUCAUAACCACUACUUGCUUUUCGGACAGUACCCUUGAUGCCCCUGCUUGACAACACUGUCAAAAGCCUAUCUAAAUCAGGUAAACCCCAGUGUACCAGUGGUCUGAUCUCCAAGGACUCCUGCACUUUUCCAGAGAUCAAUCGUUGUUUGCCACGCUCUCUAAAAAGCUCUCCCUUCAACCUUGCUAUACUAAUAUCUCCCUGUUUCAAUUUUCUCCAAUCAAAGUGGCAAGCCAAGUCAGUUGCAAUCUCCAAUUCUGUCUUGUCCUUCAAGCUUGGUAUACAUAAUGUUUCAUCAGGGCAGUACUGGAAGAUCGAGAAUGCAGUUGAUUUUGAAGAGUUAAUCAGCUUCAAAUCCUUGGGGAACUGUUAGAGCAGAAAGAAAAGGACUUAUUAUGUUAAAAAGAAAAACGAGAAUCUUAUAAAUCAGGAAAAGGACAUCAUGACAAGGAAAAGGAAACUACCAGGAGAACUUUUGGUUGCAGUACGUUCAGCAAUGGUUGAACUUUCAGCAACCUACAAAAAGCAGAGAAAUGUUAAAGUAGUUGCUGACUAACUUGCAUGCUAAGUCAGGAGAUGCUAUAAACCAGAUAACUUCCAUACUUAUGCACAUAUAAGAAACAUGAUAACUGAUUUGCCUUCUGGCUGGAAAAUGACAGAAUAAUACCACCACCGCCGUACCCAUUUUCAAACAAGCAAACAGCUCUCACACAUACCACAAAUUUGGAGCUGGAAGGCCACCAAAAAGUAUGUGCCAAUAUUAAAUCUCAGUUUCCAAUUUGUUUUAACUCUUAAAAUGUGUUGGAAAAUUCAAUACAACAUGCAAAACCUUCAGUGAAAACAAGUUAUGUCCAAUUAUCCAUCAUUGAGGGUCAAGAUACACGAGGUUAGCCCUAUGGUGGGAUUUAUAGUUUUAAUCGCUCUAAGAAAUUUAAAGCAAGUGGUUUGGUGCUGAAAGUGGUCUUUUAUCGAGAACUAUCAGAUUAUAUUAUUAUGAAGCAAAAUGUUUUGUCAGUGUCAGAAAGAUCCUACCUUAUCCCAGAAAGAAAUGAGCACCGAAGAACCUUCAUUGCCAUUGGCUUGAAAGGCAAGAGAGCCAGUUCAACGUCCAAUUCAUUCUGCAAAUACAGAUACAAGGUGAAUGCUUUAUGAAGAGUUCUUUGAACUACUUAAAUGCAUAUCUAGUGAUAGUAUAUAUUAGUACCUCAAGAAUGAGUAGAGAAUUCUGAUCCCCACACCAGCGCUGCAGGAAAUGAACAGAAGGACCAAGCCGCAGACUCCAGUGAGGAGAGAAAACUAUGCAUGGCUCCUGCCAAUUCAUUCUGUCACAACUGUCAAUUUCUGGGGAUGACAUAGAUAGGAUAACCCUAGUACAAGUUGCUAAGCAACCCACAAUUAACCACUAAAUGCCGUUUAAUUGUGCAUCUUUCUUAAAAUCCACAAAUAUGCCUUUUUCUUUCUUUUUCAAUACAAACAGACUUCAACAUAAUAUAUAUGGCACGAUAAAACGUUAAAACAUACUGCUUCCUCUCAUUUGCAUUUUUUUCUCUUCCUUCUAAUCAUUUCAAAUCUCAUACUAAGUGAGCAACAACCUUUCAGCUGUGAGAAGCAGACAAACUCCCAAUGUAUGUUACCAACACAGAAAAGAAAAGAAUAGCUGUCCUAACUUUCCAACUUUUGGUUGUUGAGCAAAAUGAAACAGAAAACACAAUGACAGGGGAAUUAACUCGUUUUUUCUUAGGAAUCGUUGUCCAUAACAUAGUUGAGGUUUAAAAUGAAAGUUGGCUCAUCACAAAAAGAAUGCAGUUUUGGUAGUAUUCUCCUUUUUUUUCUUUGUACAAAACAUAAAUCAAAGUAUCAAACAACCAGACAGAAACACAAACAUCUCAGACCAAACGUAAAUCAAUAACACUGUUCGCUGUCAAUCACUCAAUGCCCUCAAGGACCAAACACAAUCUCAUGAAAACUAAGAUGGCAAAAAAAGCAAGUGAACAGUACACUAAUCACCAAGAAGAAAUAUCUUAAAAUAAGAGAGAAAAAUACAGAACUCACAAUAACUUAGGUGAAUGGAUAGCCGGAAAAACAUGAAGCUUCCCCUCAUUUAUAAGCUCAACAUGUCCAAACAAUGGCUGACCAGAAAACAUCUGUAGGAGCAAUUCAAGGAGUGAUUACAAUGCCUCCAGUUGGCAAUCAAGAAAGAAAACUCGAAACAGAGUGGAAAGAAGACUAAGCCCUAUGUGUACCUUUUCUUGCUGCGGUUUGCAUAGCCAUUCAGGUAUGAUGUUGGUGAAAGCCAAUAAUUCUUCACCAACAGAAGAAACAACAUAAAUAGGAACCUGUACCAGGAAAGAGAAUUUCAAACUGCCACAUUAUUUAGAAUCCCUCAUUUUUUGGGGGUCUAGAAGGGGUGUGGAAACACUAAGAAAUAAAAUAAAGUAAAUCCACAUUACCCGAUCAGGCCCAGUUGAUUAGAAAUAGUUCUAGGAAAAAAAAUUCAGAAUUGAAUAAAUAUAUUAUCUACCUUCAAACCUGAAACAUCCAGUGAAGCCGAUAUUUGUUCUAACAGCUGCAGAACAAUUCCAAGUCGACUAACAGGGAUUAGGACCGAGCCCCCAGCUUUUACAGAAUCAAUGACAUGGGAGGACAAAAACGUUAGUUUCUGCAUUUCCUCCAAAUUAUCAUCAACAUGAAGUACCGACUCGGCCCAGUCUUGCCCAUCAUUUUCUUCAUUUCUACACAUCAAUUCCAAAAGUGGAAAGCACCGAUUUUCAGCAUUUGAUGAAAGCAUGAGAAACAAUUAAGAACAAAAGUGGGAAAAUCAUAGGAUUAGUAAAAGAUAAGGUCUACAUUAAGUAAAGCAUCAUACUUGCGAGAUGAAAAAUCAUGUGUAGUUGGAACUAAGUUAUUAUGAUCACUUUCAAUAUCUUCUGUACCAUCCAAGGAAGAAAAAUCCGAAUAUAUCACAGUAUCGUUCCCUCGAAGAGCAAGAUAAUCAAAAUUCAUUGCAUGAGCAGAAUCAAAGAUGGAACUAGAUAUGAAUGCAAUUCCUCCUUUUGGACCAUUUAUUGUCCAAUUACAAGUGCCUAUUUCCAAACCCGAACUGAAUGCCUUUAUAAUCAAUGUACUGUUGUAGCAGGUCUCUUCUGCAUAUUUAAGUCUCUGAGCCUUCUGCACGCAACCCUUCACAUCUGCUGCACUGAGAAGUACUCUUUAUUAACAUUUUCAAAUAGAGAAACUUGCUAUCAAUGUCAGAAAUUAGAUGAGAUACACAAGUAUUGUAGUAAAAACCUAAAAGUAGCAAUUCCAACUGUUUAUCCCAUACAUCUAUCUAAGUUAUAUUGGUUUUACGGAAAACUUCAGCAAAGCCACCUAAGCUAUUGACCGAGUUACAGUUUUGGGGCCCGAACCUUGAACUUUAGGAUUGAAAGGCCUGUGAGGGUAUGUUAAUCCAUUCAAGAAGAGAGAAAAGGAAGAGACUAAAACACAGGAAACAAGGGAAUAGAUGGAAAACAAUGCUAAAAAAGUAGAAAUAAGAACCAUGUGCAUGACACAAAUUAUAGUUGAACCAAAUUAUUACAGUUGGAAACCAUUAGAUAUAUCCAAAAAUUUGAGAGACACAAAACUAUUGAAGUCUGAAUUUUUUUGUUCAUGCCCCAAAAGAAUCAAGUCAAUAGUUUAGGGCACAUUGCCCUUUUUAUCCCUUAAUAUAAUAUAUACGCCGUGCCCCAGAAUUGGGAUGCGGUACAAAAAUUAUAACACGACAUAAAAUGUAGAAAGACAGAAGAAAUAUAGAUUAUGAGUCCUACGCCAAAUCCGUAAAGUUUCAGAGAUGGGACAUUGUAAUUAGUGUACCGCCAGUUGAAUAUAAAAAAUAGCAAGAACAUGCAAAUAUCUACUCCGUAACAGGAAAUCAUAGUGAGGACAUAAACACGUUCAACACCUUGCCCAACCAAGAAGUAGUCAUAAGACAAACAACAUUAACUAUUUGGUGCAACAUUAAGUACCUGUAUAAGGGCAUCCAACUACCCAGCUCUCCUCCGUCCUUGCCUAAAGCUACAUCUCUCAAGGAAGAUGGUAGAAGCUUAAGCUCUUCCCACUUCAUCCACGAAGGAAAAGACGACUCUUCAGGUCCCAAAAGCUGCCUGAUUUCCAUGUGCAUUGAAACAAGAUCGUCCAUCAUAAGCUGUCCGAGUCUCGCUGUGGCUUCAGUCACGUAUAUCUGAGCAUUUUAAAAGCAGAGAAAUUAAGAUAAUCAGAUUAAAAUCCUUCAAGAUGCUAAAAAUGAAGUUAAGAACUACUUCACUGAAACAGCAAAAAUAGUGCAUGACUAUAUCUUUUAAUGCUACACCAUACCUUAGCAGAGAAACCAUUUGUUCGAGUAAGAAAUGGUAACCCUAGCAUACCCAUCGGACUUGAUAUCAAUACCACAUCAAUAAAAGAGGUGUUCCAUAGAUGCAUGUUCCUGACAGUUUUGUACCAGGGCUCUGCAUAUAUUAAGUCAUCGGCAUCAAGGGGCCUUUCAACUUUUUGUCUCUUCCGAACCAAGGAUUCUUCACGAUCUGACGGACCACUACAGUUUAAGCAUUUGGGAUUUUCUUUAUCUAUGGAACUAGCUUUUGAAGCAGAAGGAAUAGGUGAGAAGAUUGUAAGAGCAGAAAGGUCUAAUGGGCAAUCCAAUAAAAUCCUAAAACCACAUAUAUCGAGUAUGUGACAAGGUGGGAAAUGGUACCCUCCACCUUUGCUCAAACAAGUCUGCAAAAAAAUAUAGUAACAGAACAUCAAAACAAAAUAAAUGCAAUCCAAGAACACGUAUGUGUUAGAAAUAUACAUAUAGAAGAUAAAUGCUUGUGUCUAUAAAUAUAGACAAAGAAACUUACAAACUUCAUAGGUCCGAAUUUGGUAGGUCAGACAGUAUUUUACACAGUACUGCAGAGUGUGCACUUUAAUGAGUUGUAUUCUUUUGGAUAAGAGGCUGAUUAAGUGUGCUGUGUUUGACACUGCACCGGAUAAGAAAUUAAUGAACUGUUAAAAAGUUGAUUAUAUAUAUAUAUAUAUUGAAUUAACAGUUAGGGGAACAGAUUAUACAACUGUUGAUACAAAUUCAGCAACUACAUAGCCUAUCUUCAUACAUUAUAUAACUCAAGUCAAAUUAAAAGCCAAUGCUCUGUUUUUCGUAUAAGAUAGACUUGAAGAGCACCUUCAGCACUCAAAUCAAGACCAGAACUUUAUCCUAGUUCAAAGUAUCCUUGAAACAAAAACCCAAAAUUCUCCUCUUUCGUUGUAAACCGAAGUAUCCUUGAAUAGCUUAAUAAACCCCAAUUUGUAUCCAAUAUAACGAAAUUGAACAAUAAUUCAAACACAUACUUACAAUAUAGAUUGAUAAGAAAAUGAAAGAGAUUGAGCCUGAGCUGAUGAUGAAGAAGAAGAAGCAGCAGCAGCAGCAGCGAUAAGAGAGGAGUGAAGGUUUUAAGGAGUUUAUGAAACAUUUUUAAAGUUCCGAAAUUGUCCUUUCACUUGUUUGAUAUUUACAUUCAGAAAGGUCCUUUUAUGAUUUUAUCCCGUUUCUUCUUCUUUAGUGAGGACUGAACACUGAGCAGCAGCAGCAGCGGUCUCAGAAACUUGGUAAAACUGAAGGUAUUGCUUGCUUCCUCCAAUUGCUUUAUAAAGUUUGGGUUUUUGAUUUUACUUGUUAUGGUAAAGGUUGAAGCUUUGGUGUUGCUUUUGGUCUGGGGCUUGAUUUUCAAUUUGAAUGAGUAUUAAAACCAAUAGCCCAACUCAGUUGGAAGUUCUGUUUUGAUGUCAAACAUCUUUAGCGAUUCUUUCAUUGAUGCUUAAGUGGGUUGUUUAUAGUCUCUUGAAGGAUUAGUAUUACUUUAUAUUCUUCAAUUUGUGUACUCAAGUGAUGUGCCUGUUUAAGCUGCUUGAGUUGGUGUUUUAGUUUAUUGUACUAGUUUCGAGUGAGUUGUAGAUUCUUAGAUUCAAGUGGGAUAUGAUCAAUGAAAGAUUCAAGUAUUGGUUGUGUUUGUGGUCCAAAUGCGUUUCUAAUGAUUUAUGUCUCUCUUUAUCUGAAUUCAUCUUCAUUUUUACUCUUCUGAUUUUCUGCUGCAGACAUCAAGUUUUCAAAUCCUAGAAUAGUCUGUUUAGUUUAACAACACAUUUGCUUCAUUUCCUGUUGUAGUUAUGGUAAGCGAAUUAGUAGCUAAAGUUUAGGUAUAUCUUCGUUUAAACUUUAGCCUGAGUGAUACAACACAACAGAGAUGGAGACAAGGGUAUUGCCGCUUACUUGCACAUUGCUUCCGUUUUCACUUAUGCCAUGCUCUUCAACCUAUCCAAGUCUUUGGCCCUCACCUUUAAGACCCGCAUAUGCACCUGGCACAGGUAGAUUUACCUUUGAAACUUUUAUUACUCGUAUCACUUGGUUUUAGAAUUCUUUAGUUUUUCCUAAUUCAUUCUUUCUGGGCCCUAUAAUGGCAGUUUUAAGGAGGAGCGUGAAAAAGGAUGAGCCAAUAUUAGAAGGUCUUCCGAAAGAAUACUAUGAUGAUGUAAGUGAAUUGUCAUCCACAGAAAAUAAUUCUAGUUUUGGAAGCUGGAAGUGGAAGUGAAGUCUUCUCUGAAUCAGGAAUGGCAAGCUCAACAGAGGGAGAAAACAAAGGAGUUACAUCGAAGACGUCAAGAGGAAGAUGAAGAGGAGGAGAGAAAGAUUGAAGAGUAUCGUGAGAUUGGCAUGAGGUUGAAGGAUUAUCCAGAAGAUGAAGUUCGGAAAGCUCGGAAAUUGAUUUCUAGCUUUAUUAGAGCGGCUGAAGAAGUGGAAGAGGUAAUAUCAGAAAUCCAUUAUGCAGACAUGCAGUAAUUGUGCUUUAUUCUUUAUGAGCACAUACCACCUCCAGUUCCUUUUGAGACUGAGUUCAUUGAUGUUUAUAUAUGUAUGCAGAAAAUUGAAGAAGCUGGUGAGAAAGGGGAACUGACUGAACUUGUUUUGAUGGUCAUAUGGAAUCGCCUUGACCUCGCCCGACGGGAUGUAAGUUGGUGGUGAGAUGGCUUUAACAUUUCCGCACUUAAUGUAUCUAAUUUUAAGACAACCUUUAUCUUACGUAGCAUAUGUGAUACUAUAUUUUUAAGUAUCAGGGAUAUGCAGCGAUAUUUAAUGUAAAAGCUUUGAUAAACAAAUUCAAUAUUUUCCCUUUACAAAGGUACUUAGAAGGGCUUUGAAAGAAAUUGUUUUCUUACAACCUAUCUAUAAGUCAAUAAACUAGUUAUCCCUGCUUAAAGUUUGAGAUCUGUAGGAAUGUGAUAUUAAUAGUCAGUUAAUAGUACUUUUUCUCUCCAAACUAAUGAUUUUGGCUGUUGGCGAAAUUCUUACAGGAUGAAAAGGAUGUUAUUAGAAGUCUUGAUUUGCUCUAUAGAAGGAUUGAGGUAUGAGUCCCAUCCUUCCUAGUUCCAACCUCUAAUUUAAUGAUUUCACCAUUUUGAAACCAGCAGUUGGGAAAGUCUAAGCUGUGUAAUUACUUACUUAAUAGUUAUUAAUUAGUUUCAGCCUGAACAUCUUCAAGAGUUGGUUUAUAUAAGCCUUGAUACCCUUUCUAAUAUUUAUCAACAUUUUAGGCUGAGAUUCUGAAACAGGAGGCCUCACCUGCCAUGCGAUUGCUCAACGAUCUUUUAAAUAUGCAUGAUGGUUUUGAUGAUGAAGCGUGGCAGAAGGAAUGUAAAAAGUGCAUGAUUGAUACAUUUCCACGCGAGGAUCCAUUUAGCAUUUUAGUCCCAGAUGGAUUUGACCUUGAUAAGGUAUGCUGUAAUUAUGUUGAUUCCAGGCUUAUGAUUAAGUUGUUUUCAGAUUUAUACUUUUGUACGGCUUUGAACUUCUACCCUAGGGUUUCAGUAUUGAAAUAUUAUAAAAAUCUGGGGUUAUUUCAUUUUAUGUUUUCAGAACGUGGGGGUUGCAUUUGUUGGUUUUAAGCAGAUCUGAUGAACAUCAGAUGAUUUAGUCCUGUUGUUUAUCUUUACGUCUUGGGUGAAAAUGUGAAAUUCAUGAUCAUUCCUUGUAAGGAAGAGAAAGGAGUUGAAGUUGGAAUUAUUUGUUAGUAAAUUUUGGCAGAAAACUAAUGGAUUAGAUUGCAAGUCAACAAUUGCGCAUGUGGCAUUUCUAAUCUCAUAAUCCUGAUGUCUGAUGUUGUCAACAAAUUUCUGUAACUGUUGUUAUUAUUCUCAUCACUGGUAUUGAAGUUAUUUAUUGUUUGAUAACCUUUUCCUCCUUUAGCAUGAAGGACCUCUUCGGCUACCACUUGAAGUUGAUGACGCUCUAUUGAGGGUAGACUUUGUAAGAGAGGUUGAUGCACUGCUGCAAGAGGUCUGGGCUGUGCAAAGCGAGGUACAAAUUACACAAGAGCUUGAUCCUGAAUCCAUUGCAAGUAGAUUGAAGCAGCAGGAGAAGCAACGUGCCAUCCGGCUGGUAGAAACUAUACUAAACCUGGCCAUUGAUUUAAAAUGGUAGCAACUUACUGUCUAUUACAGGAGGGAGUUGUUGCGAAUGCAACAUGAGGAACUCUUAGACACAGCUGCCCUUAUACAGCAGCGCUCAGAAUGAUGUGAGCCCCACGCUGAGAGGUGGAUAGCGGCCGACACCAUAGAUUUUCUCUUCCAACCCUUUGCGAUGGUACCACUCUUCAGCCACUUUCAGGACUCCUCACUAUUGGUAGGUAUUGGAGUUAUUUGUCAAGUAGUAGAGAAAAAUGUUGAAGAUAGUUUCUGAAUUCUUGGCAUGGUAAUAUUUCAUAUCAGAAGCAUAUAUACAAAAGCACAGCAGAUGGCAAUGCAGUUCUAUUGCAACCCUGUAUUCUAAAACGUUGUUGAAUGAAUCAAAACAACAGAAUUAAGCCUUACAUGUGUUAAUGUCUUGUAACUGGACAGCGGGACUGUGAUAUGGAUCACAUUACAUCCACAUUUAAAAUCUGAGAAUCUUAUGAUCUCUAACAUGCAUGUUGGAAAUUAAAAGAUUGUUUUGAGAGUAUGUUUCAGUUGAGCUUUAUUGUUGUUUAGGGAUUAAAAAUUUGCAAGUCUACAUUUUGGGGCGGCAUUUUUUUUAUUUUUGCCGAAGUGACACAAUGGGCAAAACAUGUUUUGCUCCAACCAGUCCACAAUGGAAUCUCCAUGAUAAAGACUGGAACAUGGCAUGAGAAACUAUGAGUUGUACCAAAGGUAAAAGGCAACAGAACUAUGAGAAGUAACCCUAAGUGAUUUAUAUGCAUGUAUUUCCAUUUCAAUUUUAAAGGAAGGAACUGGGUUCUAUACUCCACAAAGCAAUUAUUGGAAACCAACGAAUUUGUCAAUGGAUGGUAACUGUACCUAUAUGUUGUCUACCUGCUUGCAUGUGUCCCAGAAUUAUAAUCACAAGUUCACAACAACUCACAAGCUAGAGAGGCUACGUCGUGACAUGCACAUAUUCAGUUCUCUUGGAUUAUAUAAGAUGCAACCAAAAAAAAAACCCCCUAAGAAUAAUCAGCUCACUUGGUUAUAUGAGUUUCAGUUUGAGUAUGAUGUCAGGGAUAUCAUGACCUUCGUACAAAAGGUCAAAAGCUAUAGAAUGACCUUUCAUAACUUCUUAGUGUGACAAAUUGGUUCUAACUAGACAAUUAUGGGACUACCUUCCAUGCUACCUCACCAUCAAGCUGGACAAAAUAACAUCAAGAUGAACUUGAAGUUCCCAUUCUUUUAUGUUAUGCAAAUGGCCUUAUUCAGCUGCCGUUUCUUCCAUUUUCCAUUUCUCUCAUAAAGCAAUACUUUCAUUACUUUGGGAGCAUCUAAUGAGAAUCAGAUACGUUGUUUCAGGUUAUUAUGUUGAAUCUUAUUCAGAAUUCCAAUACGUACAACCAAGGCCAGUCCUGAGUUAACCGGGGCUCUAGGUGAAAAACAAAAGGGAAAAUGACCAUUUGCACAAAAAUAGCAAAACUAGAACCCAAUUCAAUGAAAAUCUAAUUCAUAAGCCCAUUUCAAUGAAACUUGAGUAAAAGACAAAUUUACCCUCAUUUCUAUUCAACUAACCCUCUCUCUCCUUUUUUUCCCGAUCUGAAUUCUUCUUCUUCUUCUUUUUCUACCUCUUUCUCUGUCUUGUUGCAGAGUCGUCUUCUUGAGUCCUCAACGACGAUGUUGCCGCCCUGCCUCGGGAGACAAGAAUUGCUAGAAUACUCUACAGAUCCCCGACGUCUGAUUCCUUCUCGGAGACUGAGGCCUCGUCGCUCGUCGGUUGUCGCCGCUGGUACCUCGUCGGUCGCCGCUUGUCUCUCGGCACUCGUCGGUCGCCGCUCAUCUCUCAGUGCUCAUCAGUCGCCACUCGUCGGUCUUCUCUUGGCGCUCGGCGCUCGGCCUCCAUGGCCAAAUCGAAGGCGUCGGGUGUGUGGUGAGGGAGGUGAAGUAGUUUCGAUGAGGGAGGAGUAGGUAUGGUGAGGGAAGGCGCAUGGUAAGGGAGUAGAUCCGGUGUGUGAGGGUGCAUGGCUCUGUGGUAGGUGUAGUUGUAUUUUUGUAGCUGAUAGGUAGCUUGAUUAUUUGUAUUGUAGUUUUGAUUGAUCAUUGGCGGUCAAUAACUCGAUUAUGUUCUAAUAUUUCUUCUUUUCUAUUACAAUAAGCUGAAAUAAGUUGAUUAUUAGGGGUCAGUAACUGAUUAUUGGGGGUCAAUAACCAACUUAUUAGGGGUAUUGGGGAUCUAUAUUGGGGAUCAAUAUCUGGUUAUUGGGGGUCAGUAACCGAUUACUGGUGGUCAGUAACUGAUUACUGGUGGUCAAUAACUGAUUAUUGGGGAUCAGUAACUGAGUUACUGGGGGUUAGUAACCAAGUUAUUAGUUACCUAAAUCUGGCGAUCGGAGAAAAUCUAGGGGUUGGUGACCGGAAUCCUGCAACCGGUGACCGAAAUCAAGAAUCUGGCGGCCGGAAAAAAUCCAGCAACCGGUGACCGAAAUUCGACGGCUGGUGACUGGAGAACGGUGAGGCUCCGGCAAAGUCUUUUCUCUCUUGCAUUUUCUCUCUCUCUCUCUCUCUAUGCAUAUUUAAGAGGUGAGGGUAAAAUAGUCUUAAAAUAAUAUAGUUUGUUAAGACUUUAGUAAAGAUUUGUGCAUAAAAAAAGGUUACCUUAUAUUGGAAUGGGUUCAUGAAAAAGAUUGUCAUUAGAAUGCAUGGGAAAUAAGAGGUUUAAAUUAGUAGUAAAUGAGCAUUUUUCCAAAACAAAAUUGGGGCUCCCCAUCUUUUAAUAAAUUCAUUUUCCCUUCAAAAGAUAAAAAUUAAGCUAGUAUGCUCAAACAAUUAAUAUAGGGCCUGUACAAUUACUAGUUGGUAACAAAUGGUUUAAACUAAAAAGUAGUAGAGAAACUCAGAAGCUCAAUCAAACUAAGAAAAUGAAAUAAUGAAAACAUACCUAAUUAAAAUCCCAAAUAAUUGAAAAUAAUUUGAAAAGAAGACUAAGAAAAUUCAGAAAAUUUAUGUUUCAUCAAUUGAAGAAGAAAAAGGAAAUAAAAUAAUAAUAUUGCAUAUAGUGAUGAUAAUCUAACAAUGAUAAAUCGAUGAUUUGAAAUUAUGGUUGAGAAUUUAAUGGGAGACGAAGAAGAGUCAUGCGCAGAUGAAGGAGAAUAAUUAAAGCUAAUUAUUAUGUAUUGUCACAAUUUUUAUUUUCUUUUUCUUUUUUUUACUUUUAUAUAUAAUAGGAGAUUUUUUUAGGGGCCCAUGAAAUCUGGGGCUCUAGACCUGUGUCUUCUGGGCCUAUGCUCAAGGUCGGCCCUGCGUACAGCUAGACUUGCAACCAGAAGUGAUACAAUUAAUUUUAGUCUCUAGGAAAGCAAAGAUAUAGAGACCAUGCCAGAAACGGCAACGAGCUAGAGAUACUCACAGCUGCUACUUUGCUAGUCAUUAGUGGUUCUACUGUAUACUUCCAGAAAAGGCAGACAGCUACAAUGGCAGGAAGCAACACAAGGUUUUAAAUGCAAAGCCUGUGCUGCAUGAGGAGUCUCUUCACACUUGCGGCCUCCAGUUUCUCUAAGGCUGGGCAUAAAACCCGACCAAGAAAAAAAAACCGGCAAAACCAACCCGACCUGACCUGUCCGGGCUGGGCUUUUUUCGGUCCUUGUUUGUUUUUCUACUAGUAUGGUUUGGGCCUGGUCCUUAAAAGUUAGAAAUCCCUAAAGCCCGAAGGCCUGACUUAUGUAUGUAUACACAAUUAUUGCUAGUUUAAGAGGUUCUACAGUAGUAAUAUAGACCUCACUACACCAGAUUCUUAGUCUAACAUUUUAAGGGACUAAAAAGCAAAACCACUAUUCUCCUCUCUUCCUUUUCAAACCCAUCCCGAACUAUAAUAUUGAUGAUAGUGAUUCUCCAGUAGUAAUAUAGGCCUUAUUCUCUCUCAGUCAUUCUCUCAGAUCUCUCUCACAUGAUAGUGAUGACACCCCAAUUCUCUGACUCAACCCCACACUCCUCCGCCAAUUAUCAAUAUUACCUCCACCCCCGACGUCGCCGAGGACGAUAUCAUGUGGACCAACAACUACGCCACCGAAUCAAACCAUCACUACCAUAACGAUCACAACAACAACAACAACUCUACACCUCCCUCUUCCGCAUCCUCAAUCCUCACCGGUGAGAUCAAGUAAGGAUUUGGUGGUGAUUUAAAUAAGGUUUGUAAACUGUGGGAUCUGGGUUUGGUGGUGAUUGCUGGCAGAGUGGCAGUGAGAUUAGAUAAGGGACCGAAGGCCCGAAGGACCGACCGGUUUUUGGUUGGUCCGGUCUUCUAUCAAUCCCAGCUUUUUUUACGUUGAAGCUCGGCCCGGAUUUCGUACGCCGAUCUUGGUUCCUGUCAGAAUACUACCAGUCUGGGACCGUGCCCAGCCCUAGUUUCUCUAGCUUUUUUUUUUCUUGAAAAGCAAUUCAUUGAAACAAACUAAUUAACGAUUACAAUCGUUUCGAAAUGCAUCCCUUAUGAAAUCAGGAGCAAUAAUAAACCAAGUUUGGCUAUCACUGUUUCUUAAAGCAUGAGAAGCAAAUCCAUGAGCUAUUAAAUUUGCUUUCCUUGGAACAUAUUGAAUUCUAUAACCAACAUGAUUUUGUAGCAGUUGUCUAACUUCAUCAACCAUCAGACUCAUUGUAGAGAGAUCAUGAUCACUUGCAUGAAUAGCUUGGACCAAUAAAGAACGGAUUGAGCUCCUCUGCAGAAACUUUAUAUAAAGUUCAUAAAAUCUUGAUCCUUCAUCUAAUCUAAUGGUCAUAUAGUUGCCACAUCCUCUAAUUUCACAUUUAGAUGCUUUCUCUCAAGCGAGCGUUAACGUUAAUCGAAAUAUCAACACAACCAUCACAACCAAAGCGUCGUCUUCUUCUUCCUCACCUCCUUUCUCAUACUCUACUGCCAUAUCUCAUAUUUGCAUGACUGCAACUCUACGCAUAUUGAUUACGUGCAUUUAUAUACACGUAAUUACUACUUUAACACUAGGAUUUAGCUAAUUUUUAAGUUAAUUAUAAUGUAAUUAAUCUAAUUUUAUUUAUUUGUAGGAAAUAAGCGGAAAUGUGGAUUUCGAAAGAAAAUAGUGUAACAUUAUAGCAAAAUGGAGAUUCCGAGAAAUUGACAAAAUUAGAGAAUAAUUAAUUAACCAAAUAAUUGAUUAACCAUUGAGUUGGUUAAUUAACUUGGUUAAUUACUCAAUUAAGGAAGGCAAAGCUCCAUCAGGUGCCAUCCCUUCUUCAUUCAUGGACCAAUUGCCAGCUGACAUGUGGCGCCUCUACCCUCAUCUCCAGCCACACCCGUGCACCCUAGAAACUCAAUUAUACAUAUAUACAUCAUCUCAUUCUCAGAGGAGGCGAAGACGAGCCGCAAACAGAGGAGAAGAGAGAGAGAGACGCACAAAGCAAAGGGAAGGGCUCUUGCCCUUUCCCGUCACCAACUCCAUUCAUCACCGUUUCAUCCCUUCAUCUCUUCUCAUUUCACAAUUUAGUUAAUUUCUUUUGGGAAUUUGAAGGACUCACUCAAGACUUCUUCAUCAUCAAGAGCACCACCUCUUCAAUUGGGUAGUUAGGUGAAAAGCUUUCUUGGGUUCAUACUAGCUCAUAGCUUGAAGUGACAAAGCUAGCUCUCCCCCUCUCUUCCUUAUUGUCUAUUUCUUUAUCUUAUAUGCUAUUGAUGAUGUAUUUGACUAUGGGUUGUGAGUGAUUCAAUUUUGGGAGCUAGGGUAUUGAAGCCGUAAACUCAUUUUGUAUAAUGUUGGUACUUUGAUUGUUAUAAAUGCAAUUUUCAUUGUGUAUGCUUUGAAUCCGAAUGUGUUGGUCCUUAGAAGCAUGUUUCUAGGCUUUGUCACCCUUUGAGAUAAUGUUGUGGACAAUUGAUGGAUAGAUUGAUAAAUUGACAACUUAUUAGUCUUGUGCAUCUAGGAUUUGAAAUGUGGUAACCAUUAGCUAGCUUAAUUGUAGCUAAGCUUGCUUGGGUCCCUAUUAUCUUGCACUCUAGGCCUGUAAUUUAGAUAUUACGGCCUUAACCGGCGUAGUGCCCAUUUUAGAGAGUUGAUGGGGCCUUAACCGGCAUAAUCGAUACACCGAAAGGAUAAUUGGUCUAGUAGCCUUAACCGAACCUAGAUACGAGACUUAGCACAAUAGGAUAUGUAUUUGUGAAAUUGGUAUCGAUGCUUGCAAAUGAGUUAGUGUGGAUCACCUGACACUCCCAUGUUCCCAUAAUUCUUUAGUUCAUUAGUUAGUAGUUUAUUUUUCAUUUAGUUUUUCGUCAAUUUAAUUAAUUCUCAUUCAACCUCCAUUUUAUAUAUUGACUCAUUGUAAUUACCCAUCACUAGGCAUUUAGUAUUGAUUAGGCUUUGGUGAUAACCGAGGCCGAGCAUUGUUAAGGCUUGGUGCUUUAGAGUAGCAUUUUUCUUCUUUUUCUUUGUUUGCUUAGUGACUUUUGUUCCGAUUAGCUUAGGAUUGUGGGUUAGCCACUAAUCCUCGUGAUACGAUAACUUGGGCAUAAAUACUUCCUUAUUUUGACAACUAUAUGCUCGCUUGCGUGAAUUGUAUCCAAGUCACACAUCAACAUGGCCAAUUAGAAAACCCAGAUAUAAUCCCUUUUGGGUUUUGCUCCUUCUCCAUUGAUCUUUAAAAAACAGUUGCCACCAUUAUUAAUUGUUAGGUCACCAGAGCUAAAAUCUAGGUCCAUCAAAAUGAAAAAUCAUGUUUGGGUUUCCUCAUUUCAUCUCCUUUUCUCCAUUAAUCAUCCAUUUCAAUCUUCUGCCGCGAAAAAACUUCAUCUCCCAAUCUCCAAUUUCUCCUAAAUUAAUCCCCAUUCACCUUAGACGACUAAGUUUUUCUCCAAUUGAUGGUUAGAAGAUAGACAAAAUGUUUUUCAUCUCCAAGAAUCCAACAGCCUAAUUGAUGGUGAGCAAUCACAAACAUUUAAAAAGCAACAAGUUUGGUAAAAGAAAAAGGGUUCGAUGAGAAAUCCCAAAGUUUCUUCUUGUUGCUGGAGUUAACGGGGCAAGUGAACCACGGUUUAUACCAAAAGAUACAAAAUUAUGCAAUAAUGAUGUGUCAAUAAUCAGAGCCUUUAGAUUAGACAAAAAGCCGAGAUUUUAUAAACUUUAUCUAAAUUACAGACUCCUCACUUUAGAGGAGCCGAAUCCAGAACGAACAAUCAGAUUCAAGAAAAACCUGGUCAUAUUGAAGUGAUGCUGCCAGAUUGAUUCCCACUCUUAAUGCCAACAAUUCAGCAUGGAACAAUGAUGUUAUUAGAGGAAGAGGUCUACUUGUGCUAGCUUGAAAAUCACCAUUUGCAUCUCGGAUUACAACUCCAGCACCGCCCUUUUUUGUUGCUAGUUGGAAAGCACCAUCGCAAUUAACCUUUACCCAACUUUCUGGUGGUCUUGUCCACUUCACAGAUUUUCUUUCUUGCUUUGUAGGCUGCAGAUUGACUAUUUUAAAUUCCUCAUACCAACCCAGAGUGAGCAACACAGCCUCAGACGUGUGCUGGCUCUUCUGCUCCCAUAAUUGAGUAUUCCUGUUUUUCCAAAUCCCCCAUAAGAGUAUUAGGAACCUAGCUAUUUGCUCCUUUGUGAAGCUAGUAAUUAAAUCCAAAAACCAAUCUGUAAAAUUGACACCAUUUCCAAUAGACAGUGACAAAUUUGGUCUAUGCCACACGUCUUUUGCGUAAGGACAAACAGCCAAAAAAUGCAAACUGUUUUUCAAAUUAUGGGGACAUAAUACACAUCCCAUCUCGCCAUCAUAACCCUUGGCACUCAAACCCACUCUUGUGGGGAGAAUACUAGUUGUUGCCUUCCAUGAAUGCAUGGCUACCUUGCCAGGUAUAUUUGCAUCCCAAAUUGUCUUCCACACGGCUCUGUAAGGAUCAACAAGUGGUGAUGGGGCUAUAAUCACUCCCAAAGCCAAAUCACCAGCAACAAAGUAAGCACUAUUUGUAGUGAAGAUUUCCCUUUUUUGAAAGUGUCAAAUUUGUCUAUCACUGUGAGCUUGUCUUGUUAAAGGUAUACUCAAAAUCAAAUCAAUAUCAGUUUGGGUAAAGUACAUUUCAAGUUUCAAGUAAUUCCACAUUCCAACUGCAAGUAUCUUGAUCAACAAGUUCCACAACAAGACGAGGAGCAUUCUGAGAAGGUGGUGAAGAUGGCCCCCUUAGGUAUGUAUCCAGAUCCAAUUAUGAUUCUAUAUCUCAAUAUUUUCACCAUUUCCCACCUGCCAUCUGAGUCCUUGAACUAACAGUUGUCGAGCUUCUAUAAUAUUCCUCCAUGAAAAUGAGGGUGAUGUGAAAGAAUAAACUGUAGAAUGAAAUCGAAAACUCACAACCACAAAUGUAAAAUGUAGCAGAAAUAAAAUGAUAAGAACACUGAGAAUUAACGUGGUUUGGCAAAGUGCCUAUGUCUAUGGGGCAACAACAACAACAAUAAAGAACCUCCACUAUACGAAUAAAAGUUGCACGGAGAGAAACACUACUUCAAAACUCACACUUGAAGGGAUACACUCUCACACACUUUGUUUUGCUACACACACAAACUCUCUACUUAGGAGUUUUCUACGUCCAUGGGGCAACAACAACAACAAAGAACAUCCACUAUACAAAUAAAGGUUACACGGAGAGAAACACUAUUUCAAAACUCACACUUGAAGGGAUACACUCUCACACACUUUGUUUUGCUACCCACACAAACUCUCUACCUAGGAGUUUUCUAUCUCACUCUUGAUGAUCACACAAGAUGAGCUUCGAUUCUUCUAUAUAUUUUGCACUAUUGCAAAUGCCUCUAUAUAUAUAUAUAUAUAUAUAUAUAUANNNNNNNNNNNNNNNNNNNNGCGGAUUUCCACUUUACACU
This 49415-nucleotide long non-coding RNA is filed under the name Fragaria vesca (wild strawberry). RNAcentral's name for it is "long non-coding RNA (FVES_LNC003705)". Lineage: Eukaryota; Viridiplantae; Streptophyta; Magnoliopsida; Rosales; Rosaceae. The record is from RNAcentral.